This 82316-nucleotide long non-coding RNA is filed under the name Gossypium barbadense (sea-island cotton). Its description in RNAcentral is "long non-coding RNA (GBAR_LNC021265)". Lineage: Eukaryota; Viridiplantae; Streptophyta; Magnoliopsida; Malvales; Malvaceae. The record is from RNAcentral.
GUUGCCAUCAUCUCUAGGCAACUUAAGGUGCUUGCAAACCUUGGAUUUAAGAGUUGAGAAUGUCAAAAUUCAUGUACCUAAUGUGAUAUGGAGGAUGGAGCAACUAAGACAUUUGUAUCUCCCUUUGAGAUGUAAAAGCAGAACUAAGUUGAAGUUGGGUACUUUGAGCAAACUCCUAACACUUGUGAACUUCAACACCAAGAAUUGUUAUCUGAAGGAUCUUAUCAACAUGACAAAUCUUAGAGAGUUGGGGAUAAAUUUGCCCUUCAAUAUUGAAAAUUUCAAUAAGAAGGAGUUGGGCGAGAAUCCACCCAUAAUCGGAAGUAAAUAUCUUCAUUCCUUGUUUAUUGUUUCCAUUGGGGAAUCCGGCUCAGAAAUAGAUCCAAGACAUUUGGCCCACCUCCUUUCAAAUUGUACUAGUAUUUGCAACUUAAGUAUAGCAGCAAGGAUAAGUGAGUUACCAGAGUAUCACUACUUCUCUUCCCAUCUCGCUUACAUACGGUUGAGUUGGUUCAAGUUUAGGAAAGAUCCAAUGCCAACACUAGAGAAGCUGCCUAACUUAAGGAUUCUUGAAUUCGAAAGUUCUUUCAAAGGAAAGGAAAUGUUUUGCUCUGUUCAGGGUUUUCCUAAACUUGAGUCUCUAAUCCUUGGGGGGCUCGAAAAUUUGGAGGAGUGGAAGAUGGAUGAAGGAGCCAUGCCUUUUCUUCAGCGAUUGGAGAUCACGUAUUGCAGAAGAUUGAAGAUGCUUCCAGAGGGAUUGAGGUUCAUUACAACCCUCAAAGAACUGAAGAUUGAAUUAAUGCCAAAGGCAUUCAAAGAUAGAUUGGAGGAAGGAGGAGAAGAUUUCUACAAAGUCAAACAUGUUCCUUCUAUCAUAUUCCAAAACUGGGGCUAAUAGAUUGAAUGAUAAUUGAGAGGUAAUUUCAUGACCUCUAGUUUAGGAAAUGAUUCCUACUUUCUUUGCUUUUUAUAUAUCUUUCGUUUUUGACAAUAUCUCACAUUCUCACUCCAUUUGUCAACACACCAAUGAAUAAUUACAUUUAUUAAAAGUCAAAGGAAGUCAGACAUUGAUAUUUUCAGUUUUGCUUUUCAGGUAAAGACGCCAUUUUUUUCACCUGCUACUGCUAUUCGCGAGAUCAAAUCUAUAAUUAAAAUUACUCCUAUUAUAAGUGGCGUGUGAACGUGUGUUAUAUGGUGAGAUUUGGAAUUAUCUUCUCUCUUGUAUAUAUCUAUGGUUGUUGAAUGUUUGUUGUUUUCUUCAAAUUACAAUAAAACGGUUGCAAGAUGUGGUAUUGGAAGAAUGGGAGGUGUCUGGAUUAGCAAGGUACCAAACCCCUCCUCCAUUUCAAUUUCCUUUUUUUGUCUUUUAAAACAUAAAAUUGCAGAUAAUGAGACGUCACUGACCUUUGUUCCCACAUAGCUUUGGUUUGCGGUGACCAUUCCUAUAUUUAUUUGUUAGCUUUGCUUUCUCUUUCUUUUUUUUCCCUACUUAAGUCUGCUUGAGUCUUUUUCUUUUUUUAUAUGUACUUAAUGUAAUAGUAGAAGCCAAGGCAGGACCAUGCUUUUCUAUUGUAAAAUUCAUCACUUCGUUAUUUUAUAUUUGUAUGUUGGACACAUUUCCCGUUUCAACAUAUUUUCUUAUUUUAUGAAAGUCGAUUGGUAUUCAUCAUAAAAAUUACGAUAUUAUAUCAAGUUUAAUGGUUACUGUAGAAGCCCAAAUUUGCCCGGGCCCUACCAGCAAAACAAAUUUCAGCCCAAAUGGCCCAGUUACAUUACAAAAUUAAUUGGACUAGCCCAAACACCAACCCACAAGCCCAAUUACAACCCAAACCCGAGGACCAAAUUCGGAGCCCAAUUCCCUCCAAAAAUCCAACUAGGGUUUUUGAAAAAUGAAACCCUAGCCAAACCUAGCGCCGCAUCCAUCCCUCUGCCGUUCGCCUUGUCCCAUCGCCACCCACCGUGCCUAGCUUCAUCAACACCUGCAAAAUGACAGAAAAAGCCGGAGCACGCAACAGAUAGUGCAAAACAAUAGAAUACAACCAAAAAAAUACAAUGUAAAUUGGCUAUAAAAGCCAAACAAAAUCUCUGUACAAUUUUUUUUUACACAGCGUUUUGAAUCCAAAAAAAAGAAAAACAGAUCAAAAGGUUGACUCCAAUUUAUUCUUCUCUGUUCUUGUUUCUUAUUUACUUUACUAUUUAUUUAUUGUUUAUUUUUUUUCGCACUCGUUCAACAAAGAAAAAGGAAUUGAAAGGGAGAGGAGAAAAUACCUUACCGCUUCGACGGGCUGGUGUCGGAACCCCACCCUUGCCGUCGUCGGAGUCGAGCCAAAAGGGGCGUCUCAUCCCUUUUCCUUUUGAUCUCGCGGUUGAUAAGGCUUAGCCUUCGGGGACGCCGCAAAAGGGGGAGGCCUAGGGGCCGUUCUCGCGCAACUCCGGCCAUUGGCCAUGGAGGCGGAGAUGGCGGCCUGAGCUUAAGGGCCGAGAGAGGCGUAGGGAGGAGAGCAUUCAGGCUCUCAGUUUUCCUUUUUUUGCUUUUUUUUAUUUUCUUUUUCUUUGUUUGUUUAAAAGAUGAAUGGAGGCUAUCAGAUUAGGGUUCUUCUUGGCCCUUAUGUGAUGUUUGAAACGACGCCGUUUGGAGUCUGAUCAGUGACUCUAAAACGGCGUCGUAUUGGGCUCGACCCGCGCAUUGACCCGAUGGACCCCAAGGAUCCGCGUGUUUCGGACUGAGGGUCUAUUUACCCUUUCAGUCCUUCCGAUUCUGGGCUUCCCUCCAAUCUAGUCCUUUUUUUUUAACUUUCCUCCCUAGGGAUUUUGCUUUGUUUUUAAUUUAGUUCUGCUUUUUAUUAUUUUAUUUUAAAAUAAUUAUUUUUAUCUUAAAAUUAAUUAGUUUUAUUAUCAUUAUUAUUGCUUUUAUUUCUCUUAUUUGCCUUAUUAUUUAUCCAUUUAUACUGUUUUUGGAUUAUGUUAUAUAUAUGCAUACUUAUACACAUAUACUUACAUUUUCAUACAUUUCGUAAUUAUAUAUAUAUAUAUACAUAUUUUUAUAACAUGUAUACUCGUAUAACUUUCCAAGUUUACUCACAUAUGUAUAGCUACUUAGAUAUAUAUUAUUUAUAUUUUAUACUUUAAUAUACGAACACACAUAUUUUAUUUUUAUGAGCAUUUAUACAUAUUUAUCUUUUAUUAUUUUAUGUAUAUAGCUGCAUGUCUAUAUAUAUAUUUUCAAUUUUCAUAAAUAUAUACUUAUGUACUUUAUAUCUUAUACCUCAUAUUAUAUACGUAUUUUUAAUUUCCACAUCUAUAUACUUUAUAUCUCAUUUAUGUAUAUAUCCUUGUAUACAUAUACUUUCAUAUACUUUAUAAUGCAUACAUGCACAUAAUAUAUAUGUACGUUUUAUUUUCAUAAAAACAUAUACAUAUACUUACUUUUAUACUUUAUAUAUUUCAUAACUUUAUGUAUAUACAUAAACGUACACAUACAUAUUUACAUAUAUUUUUACAUACAUAGAUUUUUCACAUUUUUAUAAUUUUACACACACACAUAUAUCUUUUUACCCUUUUUUAUAAUCUUACUCAUCUAUUUAUUUGUUUCAUUUUCAUUAUUGAUUUGAAUGAAUGCUUUAAUUUUAUUUACUCGUACACAUUACUAUUUCGUAUGUUAUUGAUUCGUACUUUGUAUUUAUCUUAUUUUUGUUACAAUCGCUCGUAUUAUUUUUGCACUAUUGUAUUCAAUAUCGUUUUGUUACGAGUAUGAACAUCGUGUUUUAUUAUUUCAUGUUGGAUUAAUUUAUUUCAAUGCAUAAACUACGAUUUUUUGAAUAAGCAAAAUCUCGUGUUUAGAUUUGAGAAUGUCGUACCCUAACUUACUGGGUCUCGAUUUUCCCAAUAAAUCUAAAUACACGAAUCUUUUCAAACUCAAGUUUUAAACGAUAUCGGGAAUUAAAAAAGGACCGUGUCUUAACUUACUGGUCGUGAUUCCUUUUCUAAUCCAAGAUAGUUAAAUACUUUUUAAAUAAGCAUUUUUUUGUAUAUUGAGAAUUCGAGAUAUUGUGUCCUAACUUACUGGAUACGAUUCUCUUUCUCGAUUAACAUAAGAUAUGCUUCUUUUCCCAAAUUUUUAAUGUUUAAUACAAGGAUCGUACUUUUAAUUCUUUCAAGUUCUCAAUUUUCAACAUCAAGACGUUAGAUAAUUAACUAGGUACCAAUUUCUGGGCGUUACGAGGGUGCUAACCCUUCCUCGUACGUAACCGACUCCCGAACCCGUUUUCUAGAUUCCGUAGAUCAAAACCGUUGUUUUAAUAAAACCAAAUUAUUUAUUAAAAACAACAUUUUUCCAAGGUGACCCAAUCACACUUCAAAAAGGAUUGGUGGCGACUCCCAUUUCAUUUUCAAAACCCAAGUCGACCCCGUUUUUUCAUCAAAAAAAAUGGUGUCAACAGUUACACUUCCAAAACAAAAAAUAGGAAAAAUUAAAUCUUACCAACUAAUAACACUUCCAAAUUACAUUGUCUUACAGAAAAAAAGAAGAUACAGUUUGAAUUUUUUUAUCAAAUGAUUUGGCAAGCUAUGCUUUAUAAAAAAGGCAAGGGAAUCAAAGAUUCCAAAAUCGAUAUUUAGAUUCAAGAUUUUGUAUCCCCAUGCUUUGCUUCUUAUAUCUACCAACAAUAUCUUGAUGAUAACAAACUAAAAAAAAAAUAUUCAAGGGAAUCGAAGAUUUCAAAUCCAACUUAAUCGAUUGAAAAUUUCACAUCCACUUAAUUAAUUCAAAUGAUAUUUAUUCAACAAGUUUAAAUUAAAAACUGCAAGAAUCUUCAUUUAUCUUUUAUUCGAAAUGUAAUUCGGAUUCAAUGAAAAUAUUGAACAUAUAAUGUGUGCACAUGGAAAUGUCCAAAUCUUUAAAUAUAGGGUCCACAUGGGAGAAAUCUUUAAAAUUCAUUAUGAUCCUAUUGUUUUCGUUAUAAAACUCAAUAUCUUAUUCGGAUUAGGAUACGAGCGAAUAACAGCUAACUAUUUGUAGUUCAAGGUGUGAUAAAAUCUCAGUAGCUAAGAUAUGAAUGUUGCAAAAUACCAUACAAAACCACAGCCACAUUUGUUGGUAUGACUAAUUUGGGUAAUCAAAGGAAAAAAAUGUUAGCUGUUGAGCAAACAAGGUGAACAGAUUAGAUAUUCGAAUUCCGUUCAAGCACUUGACAAAUCCUUUCUGCAAUGGCUUCAGCACGCAUCCUAGGACCUUCAUCAUCUGCAAAAACCGACCAUUUCUAACAACUAAGCUAACAUCACACAUGAUAAUAUAUGUAUAUUACAUAUAUAGAAGAUGAUUAUGUGGAUUAAAAGCUAUUUUAGUUUGACUCAAUACAUGACCAUGGGACAUGCACGAUUCUUCAAUAACGAUAUGAAAAUACUUGGAAGAAAAAUUAAAUAUAUCAAUAUCUAACAUUUACAUCUGAGUUCGAGUAAACUAAAACAUGUCAUUCUAUCUAAACAUGCAAAAUAUCCAAAACUCUUGACGAAUGUUAGAUACAAAUAUGUAGAAUGUACCCAAAAUACCCAUCUCGAACUCAGUAGAGAAAUAUCUAGCACUCAAAAGGCACUAGCUUCAACCAAGAACAAGGAAGUUUCUUCAAAGGCUUGAUAUACUUUCUUCACAGCCAUAUAUAUGUGUGCAUAUACCCAUAUUAAGGAUGAUUGUUUUGGCAAAGAGGAUGAGAAGAAAGAAAGAAAACCUUUAAUCCAAUGACAAUAUUUGAUUAUAACAACACGACACAUAUAAUUGUGAUUAAAAUUGCGGUCACAAACAUGUUUGCAAUCACAUCAUGUUAACGAAUACUAUCACAAUCAAUUGCAAUAAAUAUCCACAACAACAAGAGCCAGAAUCCUAAAAUAACAAAGAUAAUACAUUACAGCUGUUAAGGAAUUUUCAAUAACGUAUAUACCUGCAAGAUUUUCAGUGAUGACACAACAAAGUUCACACCAGACAACUUCCCGAUCUAAUGAAAUUUUCAAACAUAUCAUGUCAUAAGUUUCAAGAUCAACUGAAACAUGAGGAUUCCAAGUAUGAUAAGAAAUUAAAUUAAGGAUUUUCUACUGCAAACCUACCACGAAAACAUAAUUUUUAUUAGGAUCAAAAGCAUAGCCCAUCAUGGCAACAUUAUUGAGUCCAUUUUCAGAGGAAAAUCCUGAAACAUGUUACAGGCAAAUAUUAAGAAAAACAAUGCACAAGCGUAAGUACAAAAACAUAGCAUGCAAGAAAUCAAUACUUGAAAGGAUUAAAAUCACUGCUAACCUAAGACAUUGAAUCUAGCACCACUAGGAAACAUCCAAAAUGAUACUUGUCUUUCAAUGUUGAGAUACAUAGGUCCAAGUCUGCCAUGUUGUGCCAAACGGGAAUUCAUCAACCUCUUGAGAACCUAAAGGAUGAAAAGUUCCAGUCCAAGUUAUAUAUAGACACACACACAGAUAGACAUGAAGAAAGUUGGGUUAAUGGUGUAUUAUUUAAGUAAAGAAAAAGUUGAAAUCUUGAACCUAUAAAUAUUAGGUAACAGCUAGUGCUAAAAGUGCAUAAAGUUCUGCUAUUAUCUACAAGAAACAAUGGACGAAUCACAUACAUUGUUUAUAUUCACUUUUCUUGCUACACAAGCAAGCUGAGGCCAUAAACAAACGCAUACCUUUUUCUCUGUUUUUAAAUGGUUUUCUUGUUUUUUUGGUGAGACCUCGUCAUCCUCAAGGAGUAAGUGGUCAAGCAUGAAGAUGAUGGGAAGACCACAAGUCGAUGGUGGUCGAUCCAUGAGUUGAUUAUGAGUAGUUUCAUGUUAUGAAAUAAAAAUGUUAGCUAAAGUUAGUUGAACGCUGUGUUUUAGGGCUGAGGGUUUAAUGAAACUAUAAGUUUUGAUGUUGAAUGAAAAUGGUGCGUAUUGACAGUUUGUUACAACUGCUCGAGGAACAGCCCUAUAACAGACUUUGUAACUGCCAAUUCUCAGCCAUAAUAGAAACCGGCAUGGGAAAUGAGCAGAUAUGCCAUUUUGUGAAGGAAAUCAAUUCUUUCUUCUUCCACGAUUCUCUUUCUCUUCUCUCUUUUUCUUUCUUCCUCUAUUCUGUUGAAAUUAUGCAUCACUUCACCAGCAUUCAUCAUUGUGGACGUAUCUGAUCUUCAGUCUCUGGUUUACUGCCCAUGUAAAGUUAUGGAAAGGAAUGCAAAUUUAAAAGGUUUUCUUGCUAUUGUCUAUGCAAUUUCAUGUGUGCGUGAAAGGAGAUGAAGAUUAAUAGAGUAAUACUGAUAUACCAACAAUUCAUUAAUUGAAGUACUAUCAAUAUUAUCAACAAGUAACAGAAUUAAGUGAGUAUACUAAUAUAGUCUAGAAAAACAAUUUAAUUAAUAAUACCAUAGGGAUGGCAACAGGGUGAAGUUGCUAUUGCUAUUUAUAUCUCUGCUGUUAGCUUUUGACGACUUCAAGUAAACCACAAUCACAAGUGUUGUUCUUAUUACCUGCAAAAACACAGCCAACAAUCUGAAUCCAUAUCCCCAUUUUAGGAACAAAUGCAUGGUGUACCAUUUGUUUCGAAGCCAAAUCAAUUUUCUUAAUUUUUCUUUAAGUAAAACCGUAUCUGACACUUAUAUUCAACACAUAUUCAUGUAUUGGUAUGAAGAUAUGACAUUCUUAUCCUAUACUCAUACCCGUGCUCAAGUAACAUAAGCUGAUCCCGCAAGAUAACUGAUUUAACAUCGCUUUGCUGCUAGCUAUUGAUGAUUUCACCAAGUAAACUGCAAUCACAAGUGUUGUUCUUAUUCCUUGCAAAAACACAGUCAACAAUCUGAAUCCACAUUCCCAUUUUCGGAACAAAACCAUGGCGUACCAUUUGUUUCAAAGCCCAAUCAACUUCCUUUACCAUCUUCCCCUUACAAAAACCAUGAAUCAACUUCUUGUAUGAAUCAAAACUAGGAUUAACCCUCUCGAAAACCAUUCUCCCCAUAAUCUCCUUUGCUUCCAUAAACCUCGCAGCAUCAAGCAAACCGUACAACACCUCUUGAUAAGACCCUGCAUUGGGAUAACACCCUUUCUUUUUCAUAAUUUCCAACAGCUUCACACCUUCAUCAAUCCUACCUUGUUUCCUAAGACCUGAAAUCAAGAUAUUAAAGCUAACAGCAUCAGCAUCGAUUCCUUCCGUUUCCAUCCUCCCCAUCAACUCAAAAGCUUCAUCAACCUUCCCCUUAUCGCACAACCCGUGCAUUAAAGUAGAAUAUGUUCUAACAUUAGGCUUACACCUUUGCUUAGGAAAUUCAUCGAGCAGUUGGAAUGCAAACUCUAAUUUCCCAUUUGCACACAACCCUUUAAUGAGAAUAUUCAGAGUACAAGCUUCGAUUUCAACACCCAAAUUGGGAGCUUUCCCAUAAACCUCGUGAACAACAUCAAAUAGUUUGUUCGAUACGAGUAAGCUCAAUACGAUAUUGAACGUUUUAACACUAGGCCAAGUCCCAUAUUCUGGCAUGCUAAAAAGGAUCUCGAUUGCCCUUUUGAUUCGACCUCCGACAUGCCCAUACUUUUUAAUCACAUUCUGGAAGAAUUCAUCGGAUAAACGACAGGCUUUUUCACGUUUGAGCUUUUCCAUUAUAUUUUCAAUGGAAUCAAAAUCCUGGGCAUAUGCGAGCUUGUUGAUGAGCAAAGUGAAGAGAGGUUCAGUUGGUUUAUAAUCCUUGCGAGCUGAGUAUUGGGCUAGGACUGAAAUGAGAGAGUUUGGAUCUUUAAGAUUAUCAAAGAUUUUGAGGAUUUCGGUCGGGGAGAGCCAGUCUUUGUGGGUUAGUUUGAAAAGGGGAGGGGAAGUGGUGUGGGUUGGUUGAUGGUAGCUGGAAAGUGAGGAGAAAAACGAAAGGGAUUUAAGAGAUGAGAUUUUAGUGGUGAUUGGAUGUUGAAAAAGUGAGGGAAAAUAUUGGGGGUAAGAGCUUUUGAUAGAAGAAAGAAGGGAACGUGUAAUCAUGCGUUUGGCCAUUGGAGAAUGUAGAAACUGGAGAGCUAGAAGCUUUCUGCUAUUCGCACUAUAAACAUAGGGUAAGGGAAAGGCUUAAUACUUGUUUUGUCCCCUGUAAUAUAGGAAAAAUCUCAUUUUGACCCCUGUAAUAUAGUGAAAAUCUUAUUUUGAUCCCUGUAAAUUGCCUGCUUACUUUCAUUUCGUCCAUCAUGUUAGUCUAUUGAUCAUUUCCGUAAAUCCCAUGUGUUAGUGUUCCUAUAUUAUAGUAUUCAUCCAUAUACUUUAACCCUCCACGUAGUCGCAAUCAAUUGGCUUAAAUGAUCACACACGAGGAUCACUAUAGUACAAGGACCAAAGUGAGAAUUUUAUUAUUAAUUAAGUGAUGAACACGUAAACAUGCACUAAUUUUUUUAUACAGAAAUGGUCAAAGGAUUAAAGUGAUAGAUGAAAUGAAAGUAAAGGGCGCAAAGUGAUUGGAAAAGUAGUAAAAGGUUGGAAAAUAUUAAGAGAUUGUAUGAUGCAAAACUUAAAUAAUUUAUCUACUGAAAUUUUGAGGUGUAUUAUUUUGAAGUAAUGAAUCAUUGUUAUUUACAACUAUAUAUUAUAUCUCUUUGAAAUGUACAAAUAAAUUAAUGGGCAGAAUGUUUAUGAAUGUCAGAACUUUAUUUUUGCUUCUUCUUCCCUUCAAGAAUUGGUUGGAUUUGGAGAUGCCUAUUGAAAGCCGGGUUGAAAAGGAAUUGAGUUUGGAAUUCUGAAAAGAUCGGAAUCCAUGCCAAUAUAGCAAUUGGAAAGAAAAGGAUCGAUCCCAUUCCGUAAUCAUAUGACUUAGCUAAUACCUCAGUGAACUGCCAGAGUCCGGUGUUCUCAAUAAUUGGCCUCACAGCUUGAGCAACCUGAAGGGAACUAAAAUGUCAGAGGGAAUAAGGCAAAAGAUGCAAACUCUAGACAAAUACUAUAUGCCGGUCCUCUAAAUAUAUGAACAAAUUUAGAAAAAAACUUGGGCAUGCCCGUAUUUGAUACUUGAAUUCGAGUAACAUAGUCAACUAGACAUACCAAAAUCAGACCCCAUCCAGUCGGCAGAAAUGCAAGACAGCAGACAAGUAAAUCCUUGGACGACAGUUCACAGAUGACUGAGAGAGUGAUAACAAUGGCGAAAACACUUAGGAAGAGGAAUGCUUUAAAGAACCUAAACAUCAGAUGGUAACGAGCACUGAAAAGUUGCCUUCCAAUGUUCACUGCCUGUAUGUCAUGUAGAGAUCGAGUUAUCCAAGCAGAAAAUUCAAGGCUACUUCGGAAUUUUCAAAAUAAAACUCAAUAUACUUGAGCAUUAUGAUACUUGAAUGAAUUUUACCUUGACCGUCAGGAAAACUGCCAGAAUCACAACCCAGGAAAGCACAUAAACAAGGAAAUUUUUGCUCUGUUGGGAGAUGUCAAGAUGAUACACCAAGCCAUACUGAUACAAGAAGAACCGAAUUGAAAGAAGAAUUUCAAACAGUCUAGCACCAUAUCCUGAACGACGAAGGUGAGCUUGUUCAUCAUUCCACCAAGAUUGCCAACUCUUGUUUUGCUGAAUCCCAAUACUACCUUUCUCCUUGAUCCACUUAUUCCAGCCUUUCCAAUCAUCUACAAUCUUGUCCCAAUCGAAUCCGGAAGGAUUAAACAAAAAUGGUGCAAAUAACCAAGUCAUGGUCAUGAACCAAACAGAGUACGUGAUUAAUACAUAUGCCAUGCUACUCUGGUAGGACCUCCGGAACAAAUCGUAAACCACUAACAGGAGAAACAGUUCAAAUCCUUUAACAAAGUGGCUUCGUGAAUACAAUCUGUAGUUCUCAGUAAAGCUGGCAUGAAACACCACAACCUUACGUCCGGUAGGUAUAUACUUAGCUCCGCCAUACAUAAUUGUCCGACCAAAAUGAUGGGUUUUUGUCCCAAGGGAAAAAGUGAAGAAAACAGCAGCAAACUGCAGUUGCAUAAGAACAAAAUCUUGUUCUUGAUAUGUAUUACAUUCCGACCAAGACGGUGUAUGUCACGGCUUAAAGUUUGUUCACUAUUCCCAUUAGCAACUUUGGCCUCGAACUUUGAGAUUUGAUUAAGACCUACAUCACGACCUUUGCCAACUUGCAGGUACUCGUGAUAUGUAAUACAUCCCCGUCGCAGGGUCGAGUUAAAUCCUACACAAGGUAUCAAAUAUAUUUCACUGCAAGGAAACCACAAGUCUAGGACUAAACGGUUGGUAUACAAUAUCGGAAUUCACAAAACCUACCGGCAAAAACAUCCUCACUCAAGUUUAUUGUUUUUGAUGCUUUGCUUAUUCCACCCCUUGUGAUGUGAAACAGCCUAUCAAAUACAUCUGGAUGCCCAUAGUGGAAGCGAACCCUGUAUAUUAAUCGAAAGUGAAGAAUAAAGCAAUAAACACAUUGGUUGAUAUCAAGUAAUUAUAGAAUAGAACAAUCUAGGCCUUAGGCUAACAAGAAGUAGUGAACAAACACUGACAAUAUGGCAUCACAAAGACACCCAAUUCGGUAACUUUACCAAGAACAUGAAACUAACUCCUACUUCCACCAGGGUGGCUAUGCGUUAAGGGUAGAUAAGGGUUGACUCCUGUUUGUAUAUUCGAUAAAAACAAAUAUUGUAGAUGUUGCAAAACCAAGAUAAGAUUGCUCGAAAUAAUAAUUCUGUCGAUGUUAAUUUGUCGAGUACCGUAAUGUAGAUGAUAGCAGAUACAAGAAAGACACAUGCAGUUGAUUAUAAGUAGUAUGAUAUACCGAUAUCUGCAAAAUGAAAUACAGCAUCAAUUACCUGAGAGGAUUGGCAAGAAGCCUUUGACCAAUGGUGACAAAGCUGGUUUCCUGAUACGACAUAAACCAUGCUAAAGCAGAAACACUGCAGUUUGAAAGAAUGUAAUUCAGUCAUUAAGGAGACAAAAAACUUCCGGUUUCACAUAAAUGAAUGAUGGAUUCCUCCACAAAAAAUGAAACAUGAUGAUAUAAAAACUAAAUCCAAUUUUGCUUGAAAUAAUAUCUUAUAUCUAUAGUUUAAUUCCUCUGUGAUUCCUUAUGUUUGUGUCGAAGCAUCUACCCUAAAACUAAGGGAUAUUACUUUAAUAUAAGACCACUGAAAACCAAAUACUUAACAGCUCUGGGAUCAUACCACUUUAACAGUUUGUGAAGUUGGUUUACUAGAGAUUAUAUUUGUCCUGUGUUCGAGUUCUCAGAUAUUGCUAGGUUGUUUCUCAUUCUUGCUCGGUCCUUACUAAAUAUUAAUGCAUUAGCUAAUACAUGAAAACAUGUCCACUGACAGAUUCUUAUUAUCAUUUUUAUGAGUUCAAAGGAUUAAACCUUUCAGUGAAUAUGUAUUCCCUCAGACCAAGUAUUGUAGGAGGGCGCCGCCCACGGUUAUGAUGAAACUCUUGCAGAAGAUUUCUCACUUUAAGAGCUUCUUCCAAAUAAUUGUCCUGAAAUUUUGGACCAGUAUGAGACUAGAAAUGCAUGCAAAGCAACAAAUUUUCAGUUUUUGGAGCAAGAACCUACUUGGUUCAUGUCAAUUGUUUGGAGAGCUUCUCCACGUGUGAAGAUUAUGGCAUGGUUUUGAUUUUCUGGCUUCCCUUCACCAAUGAUUGGUGGACCAGGAAGCUUUAUGCGAUAGAUUACCUGUAGAAGGAUACUAAUGAGAUAUGCUUUAAGACUGCAUUUUAGUAUAGAAUCACAAACAGGGCAUGUUAACAGGAAUUACGACUUUACAAAUAUCCAUAUGAUCACUUAAUUUAAGAAUAGAUAUAAAUAAGCUACUAGGACUUAGAGGUGAGGUUCAGAUACAGGCAUGUGCUUGACACAGGUAUUAUUGAAGUUAUAGUCAGCAUGCAGCAACCAAGACUGUCAAAGGCACUACAUGCAGAAGCUGCUGGUUCACCUAGUCAGCAAGCUGUUAUGUUUCAUUUUGUAAUUUUUAAGUUAGAGUAAUGUAACUUAGUUGCUUUAUAACUAUGUUAGGUUUAUGCUUGAUGUAAUUUUGAUGUUGAUUGAGCUGAUAAAUCAGCUUUGUUUAUUUGUUCAAGCUAAUUAGCACAAGUUACUAUGUGUAUUAGUGGUAGUAGGUGAAGUUUAGGUCAACCUACUGUUUUGUCAAGAUUGUAAACUUGUUUAUGUAUUGGCUUUGGGCCAUUUUGAAGUUUAAGGAAUGAAUUCAACAAGUUUUCAUCUAUAUGCUCUCCAUUUUUAGUUUUGCUUAAAAAUCCAUUUGAGUUUUCUGCUUUGUUUCUCCUACAAGUCACGAGACUUGCAAAACAAGCAUUCUGCUGAAGCUUGCUGUUGCUGCCUCUUGCUCCAACAAUUGGUAUCUAGAGCCGUAUUCUUAGAGGACCUGUUGUAGUUCAACAUCAAAACGAUGGCAUCAUCAGGUUUUUCACCAGCUUCACCACCUGUCUUCAAUGGAGAGGGCUUCAACAUUUGGGCAGUUAAGAUGAGGACUUACCUGCAGGCAUUCGACCUAUGGGAAGUUGUCAACUCAGAUGCUGAGCCAGCACCUCUUCGAGCUAAUCCAACAGUUGCUCAAAUAAGGCAACACACUGAUGAAAGAACAAAAAGGCACAAGGCCAUGUCAUGCAUACAGAAUUGUGUGACAGAUGUGAUCUUUAUGAGGAUCAUGGCCUGUGAAACACCAAAGGAGGCUUGGGACAAGCUGAAAGAAGAAUUUCAGGGGACUGAGAAAACAAGGCAACAACAGCUGCUCAACUUGAGAAGAGAUUUCGAAAAUCUCAAAAUGAAAGAGGAAGAAACAGUUAAGCAGUACUCAGAUCGGAUUAUGGCUGUUGUAAACAGCAUAAGGCUCCUAGGAGAGCAAUUCAGUGAAGCUAGAAUGGUUGAGAAAGUCAUGUCCACUCUACCAGAGAGGUAUGAAGCUAAAAUUUCAUCCCUCGAAGACUCAAGGGACUUGACAACUAUCUCCUUAACUGAGCUAAUCAAUGCCUUGUAUGCACAAGAGCAAAGAAGAGCCAGCAGACAAGAGGAGCACCAGGAAGGGGCUUUUCAAGCCAAAGAAGCCUCGAGCAUCAAAACUCAUAAAGGCAAAAAGUUCUGGAAAAACAGGCCUAAGCCUGAUGCUGCUAGGAGCAGUGACCAACUCUGCAGACAUUGUAAAAGAGCUGGUCAUCCAGAAGAUAGAUGCUGGUUUAGACCAGAUGCAGUAUGUCAACACUGCAAGAAAAAAGGCCAUGCUGAAAAAGUUUGCAAGAAUAGAAGCAAACCAAGACAGAAUCAAUUUCAGCAACAAAAGGUAGAAGCUCGAGUAGCUGAAGAAAGCAGUGAUCAAGAAGAACAUGUUUUUGCUGUGUCAUGUGCAGCAAAUCAGAAAAAGGGUUCAAAGGGCUGGCUUCUAGACAGUGGGUGCACAAACCACAUGUCACCAGAUGCAACUAUCUUCAAAACCCUGGACAGAACCUGCAAAACCAAAGUAAAAAUUGGAAAUGGUCAGUUAAUCAAUGCUGAAGGAAGAGGAGAUGUGCUGAUACAUACCUCUACAGGUGGCAAAAUCAUUUCAAAUGUACUUUUGGUACCUGAAAUUGAUAGGAACCUUCUCAGUAUAACUCAACUACUUGAGAAAGGUUACUCAGUUGUUUUCAAGGAGAAAGAAUGUCAAAUUUUUGAUCCAAGUGGAUCAAACCUCAUAACAGUCACCAUGACUGAUAAAUGUUUUGAAGUAGACUGGCCAAAUGACUCACAUUCAGCCUGCAUAGCCUCCACUGAUGACUCGAGACUCUGGCACCAGAGGCUUGGACAUGCAAACUACAAAUCCAUAGCCCGCAUGGUCAAUGAAGGUCUGGCAGAAAAUUUCAUCGAUUCAGUGAAGAAUGAUGAGCUUUGUGAGAUAUGUCAGCAAGGAAAAUUGGCAAGAUUGCCAUUUCCAACAAGCACAACAUGGAGAGCAUCAGAGAAGCUCCAGCUUGUGCAUACAGAUGUGUGUGGACCAAUGAAGACUGAGUCUCUCAAAGGAAGCAGGUACUUUAUUUUAUUUAUUGAUGACUUAACAAGAUACUGCUGGAUUUAUUUUCUAAAACAGAAGUCAGAAGUUCCAUCUGUGUUCCUGAAGUAUAAAACUGCUGUUGAAACUGAGUCUGGUUGCAAACUUAGAGCAAUGAGGUCAGAUAAUGGAACUGAGUACACCUCAGCUCAGUUCCAAGCCUACUGUGAAGAAGCAGGUAUCAAACACCAGUUGACUAAUGUGUAUACACCCCAACAGAAUGGGGUCAGUGAAAGGAAAAACAGAAGCUUGAUGAACAUGGCAAGAUGUCUUCUGUUUGAGAAGAAUUUGCCCAAAACUCUGUGGGCUGAAGCUGUUAACACAGCAGUCUAUCUCCAAAACAGGCUUCCAACCAAGGCUCUGGCUGAAAAGACUCCAUUUGAAGCCUGGUUUGGGUUUAAGCCAUCACUGGCUCAUCUCAGAACCUUUGGUUGUCUGUGCUACACACAAGUUCCAGCUGAGAAGAGAAGCAAGCUAGAUAAAAGAGCUCAAGCAGGGAUCCUGAUCGGCUAUAGCUUGGUUAAGAAGGGCUACAGAAUCCUAGAACCUGCUACAAACAAGAUAUUGGUUAGCAGGGAUGUUGUUUUCAAUGAAAAAGGACACUGGAACUGGGAGAAGGCUGAACCAGAGGCAGUGGUUGAAGAUCUCGCAGUGGACCAAGUUGAAAAUGAUGAAAACACACCUGAAAUGGAUGUAGAUGAUGUUCCAAUCAGAGGCACUCGAUCACUGGCUGAUGUUUAUGAAAGAGCACAAGUGGCUACUGUUGAACCAAGUUGCUUUGAAGAAGCAGAAAACCAGGAGGACUGGAAGCAAGCAAUGAUUGAAGAAAUCAGAAUGAUUGAAAAGAAUCAGACCUGGAGUCUGGUUGAUAAACCAACAAACAGGAAGAUUAUUGGUGUCAAAUGGGUUUAUCGAGUAAAGAACAAUGCUGAUGGUAGCCUAAACAAGUUAAAGGCUAGAUUGGUUGUGAAAGGUUUCAGUCAAAGGUAUGGGUCAGACUACCUGGAAACCUUUGCACCAGUGGCCAGGCUAGACACUAUCAGACUGCUAGUUGCCUUAGCAGCACAAAAACAGUGGCUGAUACACCAACUUGAUGUAAAAUCAGCAUUUCUGAAUGGAUUCCUUGAAGAGGAGAUUUAUGUGGAGCAACCUCAAGGUUUCAAGGUGUCUGGCAAGGAAGAAAUGGUGUACAAGCUCAACAAAGCCUUGUAUGGCUUGAAACAGGCUCCAAGGGCCUGGUAUAGCAGAAUAGAUGGCUAUCUGACCAGUCAAGGAUUUGAAAGAAGUCUUAGCGAGCCAACUCUGUAUGUUAAAUCAACUAGUGCUGAAACUCAGCUCAUUGUCUCAAUAUAUGUCGAUGACCUACUGGUGACAGGAGGAGAUUAUGAGAUGCUAAGCAGCUUUAAAGUCAAAAUGCAACAGCACUUUGAAAUGUCAGACUUGGGAUUGAUGUCUUACUUCUUAGGCAUGGAAGUGAACCAAGCUAAGAAUGGGAUUUGGCUAAGUCAAAAGACCUUUGCUAUGAAGGUUCUCAACAAAUUCUCAAUGGAGAAUUGCAAAGCAACCAGCACACCAGUUGCUGUUGGAGAAAAACUCUCGAGCCAAGACAAGCAUGAAAAGGUUUGUGAAACAACCUAUCGAAGUCUAGUUGGAUGUUUGUUGUAUUUGACUGCUACUAGACCUGACAUAAUGUAUGCUGUGAGUCUACUCUCGAGGUUUAUGCAUUGUUCAAAUGAAAGUCAUUUUAGAGCUGCAAAAAGGGUUCUAAGAUACAUCAAAGGAACUUUGUCCUAUGGAAUGCAGUUUACCAAGGCUGAGAACUUGAAGCUAGUUGGAUAUUGUGACAGUGAUUGGGCUGGUUCCUUGGAUGACAUGAAGAGCACUACAGGUUAUGCAUUCAACAUAGGCUCUGCUAUGAUUUGCUGGAGCUCAAAGAAGCAGGGAGUAGUGGCUCAGUCGACUGCAGAAGCGGAAUAUGUGGCUGCUGCUGCAGCAGUCAAUCAAGCCAUAUGGCUUAGAAAAAUUUUGAAAGAUAUCAAUCAUGAGCAAAAGGAAGCAACUGAGAUAAUGUGUGACAACCAAUCAGCAGUUGCUAUUGCAAAGAAUCCUGUUUUUCAUGGAAGGACCAAGCACUUCAACAUCAAACUUCAUGCAGUUCGAGAAAUGGAACAAGCUCAUGUUGUUAAGCUGAUACAUUGCAGUUCUGAAGAGCAAAUUGCUGAUAUUUUAACAAAAGCAGUAAGUGUUUCCAAGUUUCAACACCUGAGAGCUAAUAUGGGAGUUUGCAACAUGCUAACCAAGGAGGAGUAUUGAAGUUAUAGUCAGCAUGCAGCAACCAAGACUGUCAAAGGCACUACAUGCAGAAGCUGCUGGUUCACCUAGUCAGCAAGCUGUUAUGUUUCAUUUUGUAAUUUUUAAGUUAGAGUAAUGUAACUUAGUUGCUUUAUAACUAUGUUAGGUUUAUGCUUGAUGUAAUUUUGAUGUUGAUUGAGCUGAUAAAUCAGCUUUGUUUAUUUGUUCAAGCUAAUUAGCACAAGUUACUAUGUGUAUUAGUGGUAGUAGGUGAAGUUUAGGUCAACCUACUGUUUUGUCAAGAUUGUAAACUUGUUUAUGUAUUGGCUUUGGGCCAUUUUGAAGUUUAAGGAAUGAAUUCAACAAGUUUUCAUCUAUAUGCUCUCCAUUUUUAGUUUUGCUUAAAAAUCCAUUUGAGUUUUCUGCUUUGUUUCUCCUACAAGUCACGAGACUUGCAAAACAAGCAUUCUGCUGAAGCUUGCUGUUGCUGCCUCUUGCUCCAACAGGUAUGCUCAUUUUUUUUUUCUAAGUUCUUCCAUGUAUUUGGAGGAUUCGGCCCACAUACGCAUGUUCAAAUAUGUGUUAAACGAUGGUACUUCAAGAAAAAUAAAGAGUCAGAGUAACAUGGUAUACUCCAUGUGGACAAGUAUGCUUUUUGACGUUAUACUGUGAAUGUUAUUGAACCCAAUCUUGCUAGACAAUAAACUGACACGGCAUUUAUAUUUUUAAUUCUUUAAUCUCAAAAGGAGGAAUUGUGUACUAAUCCUAUGUUGGCAUGCAUUUUAGGUAUUGGUACACAAUUCCUCUAACUGUGACAUCUUACUUGGAGCAAAGACCAAACAUAUCUUUCCAUAGUAAUCCCUGAACUUUAUCACUUUUCUUAAGUAAUCCCCUGUAUUUUUAUGAUAACUAAACAAAUCCAUAUCCUUUUGACUUAUAACCAAAUAAUCCUUUAUUUCAUAUGAAAGAUUAAUUUAUGUUAAUGGCUUAUUUAUGUACAAAUUAAAGGUUAUAGACUUAUUCGGGAAAAAAUUAAAGGUUGAGGUAUUAUUUAGAGGCAAUAAAAGUAUAAGGGCUUAAUUGGUCCUUGGUAAGUGAUAAAAUUUAGGAGCUUUUUUGUUAAUUUAACAUCAACCUAAUAAUGUUUAAAAAACUUGAUUGACUUAAUACCUGAUCAAAAGUACCAACAGCUUUUGCCAGAAUAGAAAAAUAAACCUUUUGAGGCUUAUCUCCUAUUAUUUCUUCUUUCUCUUCAAUAUAUGCAACACGUAGAGCUGGAUACCUACAGAGAAGAAACUGUAUUUCGUUAUUUUGAUUUCUAACAUACAUCUUAUGUUUCAAUAUUUAUGCAGUUUUAUCAUAUUUAGAUAAGUUACCUUAUCAUCAAAUCCUUUACGUCUUCUGCACGAGGGUCCCCAGAAGAUUUAUGUGAGCCGAACAUUUGACAAGAGACAACAUACGUGAAUUUCAUGUCUACUAAGGCAUCUAGUUCCGCAGAUGACUUGGGAUUAUUUCGUUCAAAAACAUUAACAUCCUCGAGAACGUCUGGAUAAGCACAAGUAGCCAGGAGGAAGAAAAUAAGAGCAAUAAAAGCUGAUUAGUUUAAUCAUUCUCAUUAACUUAUAACCAUAUGCUGAUAGAAUACUUAUUAAACAUCAGAUUAUGAGCAGAGGAUCAUUAACCUUUAUACUCAGGCAUUUCAAGAAGUGCUUGUAAUUUUAAGGCUUGUCUAUAGUACAUAAUUCCUCUAACUGCCACAUCGAAAGGAAAAGAAAUAAAUUAGUAAUAUAUUUACAAGCAAUUCAAGCUUCACUUGCAAGCUCGUUAAUAUAUUUUACUAAGAAAUUUCAAGCACCUGUUCUGCUUAGCGUUUGGCCACGAAAAGAAGCCCACUUUCUAAUCUCUUCCUCCUUGCCAUCAUCUAUUAGUUCAUUAAAGUUUUGAUAUCCCAUACGCUCCAAAAAGUUCUUCCACUCAUCUAAGAAAAAUGAAGGAAUGUUAUGCACGUGGAGAUGUAUUCAAAUGGAUUUUCAAUCUUUGUUACUCAGACACAAUUACAAGUAUCAGACCCAGAUAUGUGGCUUAAACAAGUAUGCUCAAUUUUGUUUAAGUUUUUCCAUCUAUUUGGAGGGUCAUAUGUACUUAUGUCUGGAUAAGCAUCAGACAUGGGUGUUGGAUGUGGGUACUUUCAGAAAAAUAAAGUUGAAGUAACACAGUUUUCAAUAUGAUUUUCUACAAAGAUAAUAUUUUAUUACCUGGGAAGAUUUUUUGCAUAUGGAAGAUGAUAGAAACUUGUCCUUUGCUUGAUUGUAGCUCCUUCAUCGAAAAAUUGACAUCCUCCAUAUAAUGGGGGGGUCAUAACACUGUAUUAAACAGAAUAUGUUGGUUCAGAGUCUAAAAGGCUUGUUACUCUGAUGAAGCAAGGUUGUAAAUGAUACAUUAUAGUGAUUCUUAGUUAUUACAACAAAAAUUCCCAUCAUAGUACCAAUGCAAGCAACUGACAUUGGCAAAAGUGACAAAUACAAUACAUGGACAAAACACAAAGAACAACUUGGCAUCUUUAACUUUUCACGCAGCACCACAAAGAAUGCAAUUAUGAACCAAAAUUCACGUAGAAAGAUCGCUAACUUUAUAACAGAGUAAUACAAUAUGAGUACUGUUAAUGGGAAAAUCUUAUUGAAAGAGUCAAAUGAAAAGGAUAUGGGAAACUGUUUACAUAUACCUAGCCUACUUAAACUGUUAUAUACUUACAAUUUCGAAUUAUCUUCUCUUUUGUUGACAUCAGACUGGUUGACUGUUUGUUGUUUUCUUCAAAUUACAAUAAAACGGUUGCAAGAUAAGGUAUUGGAAGAAUGGGAGGUGUCUGGAUUAGCAAGGUACCAAAACCCUCCUCCAUUUCUAUUUCCUUCAAUCUAAUUUAAUUACACAUUCAUUUUUGUCUUUUAAAAUAUAAAAUUGCAGAUAAGGAGACGUCACUGACCUUUGUUCCCACAUAGCUUUGGUUUGCGGUCACCAUUCCUAUAUUUAUUUGUUAGCUUUGAUUUCUCUUCCUUUUUUUUUCCCUACUUAAGUCUGCUUGAGUCUUUUUCUUUUCUUUAUAUGUACUUAAUGUAAUAUUAGAAGCCAAGGCAGGACGAUGCUUUUCUAUUGUAAAAUUCAUGACUUUGUUGUCUAUGUUCAUUUCUACUCUUCAGUUUACUUAUUGUUUGAUAUAUAUUUGAAUAUGGAGAAUAUAAUCUUUUUUAUAUAUACAUAUUUUAGAAAAAAUUGAAUAUAUGUAUGUUGGACACAUUUCCCGUUUCAACAUAUUUCUUUAUUUUAUGCAAGUCGGUUGGUAUUUAACCAAAUAAAUUUAAUUACUAUAGUUCGGGUUAAAACUAAAAUUUUAAAAUUUAAAAAAAAUACAGAAAUUGAAGUUCACAAAUUGAAAAAAUAUACAUAUUAAAAUUGAUCAAAUUAAAAGUGCACCGAUUAACCUUAAUUUUUCUGUUAAUCUUUCUGUUCCCUUAAUUAAAUGUCCAUAUUUAAGUAGUUGGACACAUAUUCAAGUUUGAUAUUCGUCUUAAAUUCGUGCAAUACGGUUAAAUAUUGGUGAACUAGUAGUUGAUGAAGUAUUAUAUACAUUCUUGGAAUAUUGCUCCAUUCAACGAAUUUAUUUCAGCUCCAUAUGCUUAAAACACCUCCCGUUUCUACCAUAUUUCCUCAUUUUGCGUAACCCGAUUAGUAUACAACGUAAUCUUUUUCAUUGUUUAGUAUCCUAAUCCUUAACUCAAUAAUCUUUAUUAUGAUUGGGUCCAAUGAUUGCAAUUCAUCUUGACACUUCCGAAGCAGAAAACAAAAAAAAAUCAAAUUUCACCGGUUAAUUACAUGUCAACACAUAUAAUCCAUGAUAUCUUUGUCUUGAAGAUUAAAUAAGAUAAACUAAAUCACAAAGAAAAUAAACGAGUAAACAUAAUCUAGAAAUUCCAAAUUACAUUAUCUAACAAAAAUUCAAUAAGAAAUAAAUGGCUGCAUUUCAUUCUGUAGGGAUUUGCUCUUAUAUCUACCAACAAUAGCUUGAUGAUAAUAAGCUGAAAAAGAAAAGGAGUCCAAGGGAAUUGAAGAUUCUAAAUUCAGCUAGCUUAAUUGAUUCAAUAUUUCAAAUACACUUAAUUAAUACAAAUGAUAUUUAUCAAUAAAUCUAAAAUUUGCAUCCCUCAUUUGCAACCUACCUUCUAAAAACUGCCAGAAUGAAAUUAAACUAUCUUAUUUCAAUUCUCUUCAAAUUUAAGUUUACAACUUCUCUUUUUGGGUUUCCAUUUGUUUCUACUUUUAAAGCAAACAUUGAUUCAAGAAAUAUUUAUUUCAUUUGGCUUAUUUUCUUUUCUAUUUUUAUGCUACUCAGAUUCGAUGAAAAUAUUGAACAUAAUAUGUUUGCAAGUUAAAUGUCCGAGUCUUGAAAAAUAUAAGAUCGAAACGGAAGAAAUAUCCUAAAACCGAUGCUUAAAGAUUUAUAAAAUUUAGUAUAAUCAUGUUGUUUUCAUUAUUAUAAAACUCAAUGUUAAAAUGUUUAUGAUUCGAAUUAUGAUACGAGAGAAAAAUAGCUAACUAUUUUAACUUCAAGGAGUGAGAAAAUCUCAAUAUCUAAGAUAUGAAUGUUGUAAGGUACCACUCAAUCACAGCCACAUUUGUUAGUAUGGCUACUUUGGAUGAAAAGUUCUAUUCCAAGUUAUAUAUACACACAGAAAUACACAUGAAGUGGAUUAAUGGUGUAUUAUUUAAGUAAAGGAAAACGGUUCUGACUAAAAGAAAGAGUUGAAAUCUUGAACCUCCAAAUAUUGGGUAACCGCUGGUGUUAAAAAGUGCAUAAAGGUCCGCGCUUAUCUACAAGAAACAAUGGAGGAAUCACAUACGCUGUUUAUAUUCUUUUUUUUUUGCACCACAAGCAAUCCGAAACCAUAAACAAAGGAAUACUUUUUUGCCUUUUUUAAAUGGUUUUCUUCUUUCUUUUCCGCCUUUUAAAUUCUUCAUUCAAUUCAAGUUCAAGAAACCAUACUAAAUAUAUAUAUAUAUAUGUUUAUAUUCGCUUUUCUUGCUACACAAGCAAGCCAAAACCAUAAACAAAGCAUGCAUUUUUUUUCCUUUUUUUAAUGGUUUUCUUGAUUCUUUGUUGUUUUUAAAAUUCUUCAUUCAAUUCAAGUUCAAGAAACCAUAUUAAAAAAUAUAUUUAUAUUCGCUUUUUUUGCUACACAAGCAAGCUGAAACCAUAAACAAAGGCAUACCUUUUUCUCCUUUUUUAAAUGGCUUUUUUUUUUGUUUCUUUGUUGUUUUUUAGAUUCUUCGUUCAGUUCAAGUUCAAGAAACCAUACUAAAUAUAUGUGUUUAUAUUCACUUUUCUUGCUACAUAAGCAAGCCGAAACCAUAAACAAAGGCAAACCUUUUUUUUCCCUUUUUAUCUUGCUGCUUUUUAGAUUUUUUAUUCAAUUCCUAAGUUUAAGAAACCAUACUAUAUAUAUAUAUAUAUGUGUUUAUAUUCACUUUUCUUGCUACACAAGUCAACCGAAACCAUAAACAAAGGCAUAACUUUUUCGUUUUUUUUAAAAUGAUUUUUUGCUUUGCUACUUUUUUAAAUUUUUAUUCAAUUUAAGUUUAAAAAACCCUACUAUAUAUAUACACAUCUAGAGAGACAUCAUCAUCCUCAAGGAGUCAGUGAUUAAGCAUGAACUUGAUGGGAAGGCCACAAGUCGGUGAUGGUCAAAUCAUGAGUUGAUUAUGAUUAGUUUCAUAUUAUGGAAAAAAGAUGCUAGUUAAAAUUAGUUAGUUGACCGCUGCAUUUUGAGGUUGAGAGUUUAGUGAAACGAUACGUUUUGAUGUUUAAUGAAAACGGUGCGUAUUGAAAGUUUGAUACAACUAGUCGAGUAACAAGCGUGUAACAAACUUUGUAACUACCAAUUCUGAAGGCUUACAGGAACUGCCAACUUUUAAUUUUAUUUGUAAUCCUCACUUUAAAAAAAUAUUCCAAAUAUGCUUCCUCACCUUAUCAUUUUUGUUAUUUUUCAAGUGCCCUUACCAUUUUAUAUUUUUAAUGGGUAUAUUAUAAAAAUAGUCACCUAGUUAUUGCUUUCAUUCUAUUUUAUUCACUAAAUUAUUAAUUUUUUCGAUUUAAUUACUAAAUUUUUUUAAAUUAAAUAUUUUGAUCACUCUCCCAUUAAUUAUCAUUAGAUAAGUGAUAGGAAGUUAAUGUGAGCUUUUUUUAUUAGUCUAAUAAUAAAUUUAAUCAUCUAAUGUUUACACAUUCUAUUAAAUUGAUUUUAAAUAUAAAAUGUUCAAUAGAUUUAAACCUAAAUGUUUACAAAAUCUAUUGUUAUAGUUCAAAUCCUAAAAAUUUCAAUAAAUUUAAUCCUCAAAAUUUAUAAAUUUAAUUUUAAUUCUAACUCAUGGAUGAAUUAAGCAAAUUAAAUCAAAUCAAAUCAAUAGAACAAGGAAUUUAAUUAAAAAGAAAUUCUUCACAUGCAUCAAGGAGGGACUUCCUCUGGUGGUAUCAAGGGGAUUGAUAGAAACAGCUCAGGCUCGAACAAGAACUUCAUUGGGCUUAAGAUCUGGAACAGACACAUCGGAUCAAAGCUGCAACACCUCAGGUCCACCGAACCGAGCCAGCAAUACCGCACUGCAACUGUUGACAUAGCACCGAAUUGAACCCACUUUCAAUGAUAUGAUAACUCCAUAAAGGGUUUGGGUUUUAAGCUUUGAAAGUUCCCCUUUUUCUUCUCAAAUUUUCUGAACUUCAGCUCCUUCCUUUUGUUAAAUGAAGGAAAAGCAAAGGAGAGACACCGAAGUGUUUUAAUCCACAUAGAAAAUAGUGAUUGUGACUUGUGAGUGUUGGCCUGGGGGCUUGGAAGAAGAAGAUGAAUAUUGCAUAAUCGAUUUUUAAUUGCUUAUUACAUUCAUAAUUAAAUAAAUAAACAUUUCUAACCUUAUCAAUUAAAUCAAGUUAGAAUGUUCAACUUGAUUUUUGUUUGUUAUAAGGAUCAUAUAUUAUAAAAUUUAAUUUAAUUUUAAUAAUUAUAUAAUACUAUUUUUAAUUAUAUCAUCUGAUACCAUCUUGAGGGCUAAAUUUAGAAUUAAAAUUAAAUUGACAAAUUUUAGAAAUUUUGAGCUUAAAUUUAUUUUUAUUUUUAGGAAUUUGAAAUAAAAUGAGAAAUUUUGUAAAUAUUGAGAAUUAAAUUUGUUGGAAAUUUUAUAUUUAGAAUCAAAUGGUAGAAUGUCUAAACAUUAGGGGGCUAAAUUUAUUAUUAGACCAAUAAAAAACAAGUUCAUAUCAAUUUCCCGUCACUCAUCUAAUUGCAACUAAUGAGGAAGUGAUCAAAAUAUUUAACUUCUAAAAAUUUAAUGACUAAAUAAAAAAAUUAACAUUUAAGUGAUCAAAAUAGAAUGAAAUCAAUAAUUUGAUGAGCAUUUUUGUACUGUACCCUAUCUUAAUCCAUCUCAGAACAAAAUUUCUCCGCCUUUGCCUAAUUUCUGUGUCUUUGUCAAAUUUUAAUAGAAUUAACAUUUUUAUUUAAAAAAUAUCUUUAAUCGUUUAAUAUAUUUUUAAUAAGUAAAUGUUAAUUCCGUUAAGGGUCAGUUUGUUUACACGUAAAAAGUUAAAAAUAAAAGUUUGUUUACACGUAAAAAGUUAAAAAUAAAAAUAUUGAGUUCUAUAAUAUGAGUCUAUUGAACCGAUUCAAUCAUAAAUAUUAUUAUUAUUGGUUUAUAUAAUGGUUUGAUUUUGAAAAUAUUUGGUUUAACAUUUAGUCAUCCCUUUGAUCAAUUUUAAAUUUUAGAAAUAAUUUUGUUUUUUGUUUACAUUUAAAUGUACAGUUUCUAAUGCAUAUGUGUUACAUUUGAUUUCAAGCCAUUAAUCCUUAAUUACUUUUUAAAAUAAUACUUUCUUUUAAUUUUUAAAUAAUGUAUAAAUUUAUAAUUAUAUAAGAAAGUAAACUAUAAUAUUAAAUUUUUAAAAAUUAAGUAAAACAACAUGCAAUAAUUUUCAUAAUAAUUAAUGAUAAAUAAGAAAAAUAUUCACAAUUAUAAAACAAACCGUUUAAGAGUAUAUAAACUACUUAUACAAAAUUCUUUUAAAUUAAAGAUGAAAUUAUAUAUAUAUAAAUAACAAAUGAAAUUAUAUAUACAAAUUUAUAAGUGAAAAAUAUACAUAAUUAUAUUCAUAAAAAGUACAUAUGACAAUAUACAAACAAGGCUAUAAAGUAAUUCAUAGGAACAUGGCUUUCUUGUUUGUAUUCUCAUUCGAUUAUGAAUAUACCUUUCUUGUUAGUAUUCUCAUUAUUUUUUUAACAUACCUUUCUUGCUUGUAUUCUCAUUCUAUUAUGAAUAUACCUUUCUUGUUCGUAUUCUCAUUAUUUUUUUGCUUGCAAUUGUUUUUAUAAUUAAGUACUGGUUCUUGCAAUUGUUUUCCCAGCAAGAUUGCGGCACUCACAUCUUGAAAUUCAAAUUCCAGAUUUUAAAGAAUUUUCUGAGCUCGAUCGCUAUUAUGGCUUGGUUUGCUGUGACAUCUGCAGUGACAACAAUUGGCAACCUGCUAACUCAGGAAGCCAUAUACCUAUGGGGCGUGGAGGAGCAAGUUGAUCGUCUGCAAACAGAGCUCAAAUGGAUGCAAAGCUCCUUAAUGGUGGCAGAGACAAAACAAUCAACGGAUGAGAGGAUUCGUCUUUGGGUUGCUGAAAUCAGAGAGCUUGCUUAUGAUGCUGAGGAUAUUGUUGAGGAAUUUGCUCUCAAGAUUGGAUCCAAAAACAAAAGUGGCCUUCCGAGUUGUAUUAAAAGAUCAGCCUGCUGUUUGAAAGAGGGAUGGGUGCUCCAUGAAACCAGGUCAAAGAUCGAGAAAAUCAUAGAAAGAAUCAGCGACUUGGUCCGAUGACUACAGGCCUACGGCGUAAAGGAAUUAAAUCCCAGAGGAGAAGGAUCAAGUUUUUCAACUGAAAUACGAGAAUCAAGGCGGCCUUAUCCACAUAUUAUGGAUGAUAAUAUUGUUGGACUAGUUGAUGAUACCAAGGGAUUGGUCGAAGUUCUUACGAAGGAAAGUGGAUGCAAGGUUGUUACAAUAUGGGGCAUGGGUGGUCUGGGAAAGACCACUCUCGCCAAGAAAAUAUAUCACCAUCGUGAGGUUAUUGAUUAUUUCGAUCACUUGGCUUUUGUAUAUGUUUCUCAACCAUGCCGGAAAAGAAAUGUUUGGGAAGACAUUUUAUCUGGUUUCAAAACUUUAGAUAAAGAGGACAGGAAGAUAACAGAUGCAGAAUUAGCAGGGAAGUUGAGUAAAACUUUGAAGGAUAAAAAGUGUCUGGUGAUACUUGAUGAUGUUUGGACCAGUGAAGCUUGGGAUAGUCUAAAACCUGCCUUUCCAGUUGAUAGCAAAAGCAAGAUAUUGCUCACCUCUAGAAACAGGGGGAUAGUUCCAUAUGCUGACAUAAGAGGUAAAAUUUUCUUAAUUAGGUAAAAUUGAAAACUCUUAUUCCGUUUAUGGAAAAUAACAAUGUAUAUUAUUUCAGAGUUGAAGUGCCUAAACGAUCAACAAAGUUGGGAAUUGUUUCAAAAGAUUGUAUUUCCUCAAACAGGUAAAUAUAGAUAUAGCAAAAUUCUUUUUAUAUGCUAAAUUUAUUUUUCAUUUUUAAAUUUUUUUGACAAUAAUUAAAAUUAAAAAUAUAUAAAAUCUAUUUUAUUUAAAAAUUUCAAAACCUUAAUGUGAAAUAAAUAAAAGAAAUCAAGGCUUUGUAGUUUAUCAAUUAAUGGUACACGCACAUAAAUAUAAUUAAUAGGUAAAUUUAUUAUCUUUUAUAUUAUAAUUUUUUAAUAACUUCGCUAUUAUUUACCGGGAAUAAAUUAUAUUAGGAUUAUCUUAAAAAAAAAUAUAGUUUUUAGGCACUAAUAAAAUAGUGUCACAUCGUUAAUUUUUAAGAUAACAAAAAAUUGUUAUACACUCAUUUAUAUUUAAUAUUUUCUCUAACUUAAUUUAAUUUUAAUUAAAUUAUUUAAAAUAAUUAAUUUUUUAAAUUAUAAACAAACAUCUUCUCUUCUUUUACAAAUUUUAAUCAUUUUGUUUUUUUUCAUAAGUUAAUAUUUUUUAUUUUUGUACAACUUAAUAUUUUUUAUUUUUGUACAUCCAAUUUAAAAAAAAUAGUAAUUUUUGUGCAAUAAUUUUCAUGUCAUUGAUACAUAAUUUUGAUAAUUAUUUUAUCAUGAACCCAAAAUCCAGAACCUUGAACUCGAACCCUGAACCUAAACCUUGAAUCCCGAAUCUCGCAGUUCAAGGUUUGGAUUUGAGAUUUAAAGUUCAGAAUUUGAGGUUCAAGUUUAAAGUUUAAGGGUUCAGGGUAAAAAAAUUACCAAAAUUAUGUGUUAAUGACAUGGAAAAAAUUGUUGAAAUGUUAUUAAAUAAUCGAAAAUGGACAAUAAAUAAUGUGAUCAGAAAGGUCCAUAAAAUAAUUUCUCUAUGGAUGAGUGUAUAAUAAUAAUUCAUAUGUUUAAAAUUUGAUGAUGUGACAAAAAAAAUUUAAUUUUUAGGAUGAUCCUAAUGUUACUUUAUUGGACUAUAUGUUUGUUUAGUUAGGUUUUUUACCUAAAUAGGAUAAGAAAAAAAAACUACUGAAAUAGUGUGAUUUUUCAGUACAAUAAUUUUACUCUUUCACACGCUUCCGCGCAACAAUUGGUACCAGAGCCAGGUUCGUACUUGGCGAAUACGAUCGUUUACGAUACUAUUCACGUAUACAACACUAUUUACGUAUACGAUACUAUUCACAUAUACGGCACUAUUCACAUAUACAGUACUGUUCACGUAUACAGUAGUUGGGAUUGAGGAGAAAAAUGGCAGCAGCAUCGUCAUCAGCAAGGACUACUGUGACAAAUGCAAAAUUUGAAGUAGAGAAAUUUGACGGUACCAAUAAUUUUGGUAUGUGGCAAUGUGAGAUCCUGGAUGUCUUAUGUCAACAAGAGCUAGAUAUAGCCCUUGAAGAAAAACCUGACAAGAUGGAUGACAAGGAGUGAGCCAAGAUCAAUAGACAGGCGUGUGGUACAAUCCGCCUAUGUUUGGCCAAAGAGCAGAAGUACUCUGUCAUGAGGGAGACAUCAGCGAAGAAGUUAUGGGAUACACUGUAAGAAAAGUUUCUGACGAAAAGUCUUGAAAAUAGGCUUUAUAUGAAAAAGAAACUUUAUCGAUUCACGUAUGCACCCGGUAUGUCGAUGAAUGACCAUGUGAACUCAUUCAAUAAAAUUUUAGCAGACUUACUAAAUUUGGAUGAGAAAUUUGAAGAUGAAGACAAGGCAUUAUUGUUGUUGAAUUCCCUUCUUGAUGAAUAUGAUCAUCUUACCACCACAUUGCUUCAUGGGAAGGACACGAUCACAUUUGAUGCAGUUUGUAGUGCGUUGUAUAGAUCUGAGACUCGAAAGAAAGAUAAAAGAGAUCACAGAGAUACAACCGCAGAAGUCUUAACAGUAAGAGGUCGUUCACACAGCAGCAAAUCUAGUAGAAGGGGAAAGUCCAAAGGGAGACCCGCCAAAGAUGAAUGUGCCUUUUGCCGUAAAAAAGGGCAUUGGAAAAAGAAUUGUCCUAAGCUACAAAAGGGCAAGGCUAUUUCUAAUGCAUGUGUAGCGGAGCAUGAUGAGGAGUCAGACUUUAGCUUGGUUGGCAUGGCAAUGGCAUGUCAAACGGAUGAGUGGAUUUUGGAUUCAGGAUGUACUUACCAUAUGUGUCCUAAUAAGGACUGGUUUUCUAGUCUUAAAGAGCUAGAAGGUGGAAUUGUUCUUAUGGGCAAUGAUAGUGCUUGUAAGACAAUGGGAGUAGGUACAGUCCAAUUGAAGAAUCACGAAGGCUCAAUCCAAGUCUUGACAGAUGUUCGCUACGUACCUAGCCUGAAGAAAAAUCUCAUCUCAUUAGGUGCCCUAGAAUCUAAAGGGCUCACAAUCACUUUGAGAGAUGGAUUACUAAAAGUAGUAGCUGGGCAACUGACGGUGAUGAAAGGCACAAGAAGAAAUAACUUGUAUUUUUUAAAUGGAAGUACAGUUAUUGGAUCAACAUCAACAGUUUCUACAAAAGAUGUAGAUUCAGAGGCUACCAGAUUAUGGCAUAUGCGAUUGGGACAUGCUGGUGAAAAAGCUUUGCAGACAUUGGUGAAGCAAGGCUUAUUGAAAGGUGCAAAUUCUUGCAAAAUGGAAUUCUGUGAACAUUGUGUUCUGGGCAAGCAGAAGAGGGUAAAAUUUGGUCCAGCAAUUCACAAUACGAAAGGAAUUCUGGACUACGUUCACAGUGAUGUAUGGGGACCUACCAAAGUAGCUUCUUUGGGAGGUAUGCACUAUUUUGUUACUUUUGUUGAUGAUUAUUCAAGAAAAGUAUGGGUGUAUCUAAUGAAAAGAAAAAUUGAAGUUUUGGAUGCAUUUUUGAAAUGGAAGAAGAUGGUGGAGACUCAGACUGGUCGAAAGGUCAAACGACUUCGAUCAGAUAAUGGUACUGAGUACAAAAACGAUCCAUUUCUACAAGUAUGCCAAGAUGAGGGCAUUGUGCGAUACUUCACUGUUCGGGAUACACCACAGCAAAAUGGGGUGGCAGAACGAAUGAAUUGAACUAUACUGGAGAAAGUUCGAUGUAUGUUGUCCAAUGCUGGAUUGGGCAAAGAAUUUUGGGCUGAGGCAGUUACAUAUGGUGCCAUCUAAUUAACCGUUUGCCAUCAGCUGCAAUAAAUGGAAAAACUCCUAUGGAGAUGUGCUACUGAUUAUGAUUCUUUGCAUGUAUUUGGUUCCACUGCAUAUUAUCAUGUAAAAGAAUCUAAGUUAGACCCAAGAGCAAAGAAAGCAUUAUUCUUGGGUAUAACUGAUGGAGUAAAAGGAUAUCGUCUCUGGUGUCUUGAUACAAGGAAGAUUGUUUUCAGUAGAGAUGUGACUUUUGAUGAAUCAACUAUGUUGAAGUACAAGGAUUCACAAAAAGAUGACAAAACCAGUAGUACUUUGCAGCAGGUGGAGCUUGAAAAGGUUAACGAUGAUCCAGCUAAUAUUGAAGGGACAAAUGAUGAAGAGGUUCCUACCCAAGAACCUCUACAGCAACAAGAUUCAAUUGCAUAUAGAAGGCCAAGAAGAGAGAUUCGUAAGCCUGCUCGCUUUGAUGAUAUAGUGGCCUAUGCACUUCCAAUUACAGAUGAUGAUGUUCCUUCUACUUACACAGAAGUAAUAAGUAACCCUGAUGGUGUAAAGUGGAAGCAAGCAAUGAAUGAAGAAAUGCAGUCUCUUCAUAAAAAUAAGACCUGGGAGUUGGUGACACUACCCAAGGGAAAGAAGGCAAUUGGAUGCAAAUGGGUAUAUGCAAAGAAGGAAGGAUUUCCUGAUAAAAAUGAAAUUCGAUACAAGGCUAGAUUAGUAGCAAAGGGUUACGCUCAGAAAGAAGGAAUAGACUACAAUGAAGUGUUUUCUCCAGUUGUGAAGCAUUCGUCUAUUCGGAUUUUGCUAGCCUUGGUUGCGCAAUAUGAUCUUGAACUAGUUCAGCUUGAUGUGAAGACCACGUUUUUACACGGUGAUUUGGAAGAGGAAAUCUAUAUGACUCAGCCAGAUGGAUUCAAGGUUGCUGGAAAAGAAAAUUGGGUUUGCAAACUGACAAAGUCGCUUUAUGGAUUGAAGCAAUCUCCGAGGCAGUGGUACAAGCGAUUUGAUCAGUUCAUGAAAGGGAAAAGGUACGCAAGAAGUAAAUUUUGUUCAUUGCGUGUAUUUUCAGAAGCUACAAGAAGGAACUUUCAUAUACUUGCUCUUAUAUGUUGAUGAUAUGCUAAUAGCAUCUAAGAGCAAAGUUGAGAUUGAAAGAUUGAAGACUCAACUCAAUCUCGAGUUUGAGAUGAAAAAUCUAGGAGAAGCUAAAAAGAUUCUCGGCAUGGAAAUAUGGAGAGAUAGAGCUCAUGAUAGAGUUAGCUUGUCUCAGAAGAAGUAUUUGAAAAAGGUACUACAGCAGUUUGGCAUGAACGAGCAGACAAAACCUGUAAGUACCCCGUUGGCUUCUCAUUUCAAGCUUUCUGCACAACUAUCUCCUUCGACGAAUACGGAACGAGAAUACAUGUUGCAAGUUCCGUAUUCUAAUGCAGUGGGUAGCUUGAUGUAUGCAAUGGUGUGUACAAGACCCGACAUUUCACAGGCAGUUAGUAUAGUGAGCAGGUAUAUGCAUAAUCCUGGAAAAGGACAUUGGCAAGCUGUGAAAUGGAUUCUACGGUAUAUUCAGAAGACCGUGGAUGUUGGAUUACUGUUCAAGCAGGAUAAUACACUUGGUAAAGGUGUUAUUGGGUACGUUGAUUCUGACUAUGCCAGUGAUUUGGACAAGCGAAGAUCAACCACCGGUUAUGUGUUUACACUUGCUGGAGGACCAAUAAGUUGGAAGUCUACACUACAGUUUACAGUUGCAUUGUCAACCACAGAAGCCGAGUACAUGGCUGUAACAGAGGCUGUAAAGGAGGCUGUUUGGUUACAAGGUAUGGCUAAAACCUUGGGGUUGGUUCAGGAGCAUAUUAACGUGUAUUGUGAUAGUCAAAGUGCUAUUCAUUUAGCAAAGAAUCAAGUCUAUCAUGCACGUACAAAACAUAUCGACGUACGAUUCCAUUUUGUGCGGGAAAUUAUUGAAGAGGGGAAAAUUUGUCUUCAGAAGAUCAAGACUGCAGAUAAUCCCGCAGAUAUGAUGACCAAGGUGGUAACAGCAACCAAGUUCGAACAUUGUUUGAACUUGAUUAAUAUCCUGCAAGUUUAACAGUUGAAGAAGGAACUAUCAAGUAUUAUUGUCAAAAGCAGAAAGAAUUGUGUGAAGAUAAGAUUAUCGUAAUCAAAUCUUCAAGGUGGAGAUUAUUGGAACCCACCAUUGUUUGAAAAGUCAAAUGGGGUGGGCACCGAAAGUAGAAAGUAAUAUUGGUUGGCAAGUUGGGUUAAAAGUUGGCAUGGGAUAAUUGCAAUUUUGGUCCCUAAUUGUAUAGGGACAUUGCAAGUUGAUCCUUGAACCUCAACUAUAAAUAGGCCUAACCAUUGCUUACUUUCUUCAUCCCAUGAUUGCCAUUCUCUACUUAAGGCAUUAUUCUCUCUCUCUAUUUGUAAAUUUCACUUGUAAUUUUUGGAGUGAAAUAUAUUUGGUAGUGCCCGAGGACGUAGGCAAAAUUUGCUGAACCUCGUUAAAAUUCUGGUGUUCUUUAUUAUUUGUUUUGCAUAUUUUGUGAAUGUGAUUGUAGUGAUUUAUUGUGCUAUUAAAUUACGAUAGAGGGAUAUUCUGGCUAGGAAAGACUUGGUAUUUAAGUGAUCUUCGUGAUCUACCUCUCUUUCUUGGGAAUUGAACUUAGUGUGAUUUUUCAGUACAAUAAUUUUACUCUUUCACACGUUUCCGCACAACAAUAAUUACAUUUAUUAAAAGUCAAAGGAAGUCAUCUUUUUAGUUUUGCUUUUCAGGUAAAGACGCCAUUUUUUCACCUGCUACUAUAAUGGCGUGUGAAAGUGUGUUAUAUGGUGAGAUUUGGAAUUAUCUUCUCUCUUGUAUAUAUCUAUGGUUGUUGACUGUUUGUUGUUUUCUUCAAAUUACAAUAAAACGGUUGCAAGAUAAGGUAUUGGAAGAAUGGGAGGUGUCUGGAUUAGCAAGGUACCAAACCCCUCCUCCAUUUCUAUUUCCUUCAAUCUAAUUUAAUUACACAUUCAUUUUUGUCUUUUAAAACAUAAAAUUGCAGAUAAGGAGACGACACUGACCUUUGUUCCCACAUACCUUUGGUUUUCGGUGACCAUUCCUAUAUUUAUUUGUUAGCUUUGCUUUCUCUUUCUUUUUUUCCCUUAAGUCUGCUUGAGUCUUUUUCUUUUGUUAUAUGUACUUAAUGUAAUAUUAGAAGCCAAGGCAGGACCAUGCUUUUCUAUUGUAAAAUUCAUCACUUCGUUAUUUUAUAUUUGUAUGUUGACACAUUUCCCGUUUCAACAUAUUUCCUUAUUUUAUGCAAGUCGAUUGGUAUUCAUCAUAAAAAUUACGAUAUCAUAUCGAGUUUAAUGGUUACACUUCCAAAACAAAAAAUAGGAAAAAUUAAAUCUUACCAACUAAUAACACUUUCAAAUUACAUUGUCUUACAAAAAAAAAAAAAGAAGAAGAAGAUACAAUUUGAAUUUUUUUAUCAAAUGGUUUAGCAAGCUAUGCUUUAUAAAAGAGGCAAAGGAAUCCAAGGGAAUCAAAGAUUCCAAAAUCGAUAUUUAGAUUCAAGAUUUUGUAUCUGUUGCGCGGAAGCGUGUGAAAGAGUAAAAUUAUUGUACUGAAAAAUCACACUAAGUUCAAUUCCCAGGAAAGAGAGGUGGAUCACGAGGAUCGCUUACAUACCAGAUCUUUCCUAGCCAGAAUAUCCCUCUAUCGUAAUUUAAUAGCACAAUAAAUCACUACAAUGACACUUGCAAAAUAUGCAGAACAAAAAAUAAAGAACACUAGAAUUUUAACGAGGUUCAGCAAAUUUUGCCUACGUCCUCGGGCACUACCAAAUAUAUUUCACUCCAAAAAUACAAGUGAAAAUUUACAAAUAGGGAGAGAGAACAAUUGCCUUAAGUAGAGAAUGGCAAGUGUGGGAUGAAGAAAGUAAGAAAUGGUUAGGCCUAUUUAUAGUUGAGGUUUAAGGAUCAACUUGCAAUGUCCCUAUACAAUUAGGGACCAAAAUUGCAAUUAUCCCAUGCCAACUUUUAACCCAACUUGCCAACCAAUCUUACUUUCUACUUUCGGUGCCUAACCUUUUUGACUUUUCAAACAAUGUGGGUGGGUUCCAAUAAUCUCCACCUUGAAGAUUUGAUUAGGAUAAUCUUAUCUUCACACAAUUCUUUCUGCCUUUGACAACAAUACUUGAUAGUGCCUUCUUCAACUGUUAAACUUGCAGGAUAUUAAUCAAGUUCAAACAAUGUUUGAACUUGGUUGCUGUUACCACCUUGGUCAUCAUAUCUGCGGGAUUAUCUGCAGUCUUGAUCUUCUGAAGACAAAUUUUCCCCUCUUCAAUAAUUUCCCGCACAAAAUGGAAUCGUACGUCGAUAUGUUUUGUACGUGCAUGAUAGACUUGAUUCUUUGCUAAAUAAAUAGCACUUUGACUAUCACAAUACACGUUAAUAUGCUCCUGAACCAACCCCAAGGUUUUAGCCAUACCUUGUAACCAAAUAGCCUCCUUUACAGCCUCUGUUACAGCCAUGUACUCGGCUUCUGUGGUUGACAAUGCAACUGUAGACUGUAGUGUAGACUUCCAACUUAUUGGUCCUCCAGCAAGUGUAAACACAUAACCGGUGGUUGAUCUUCGCUUGUCCAAAUCACCGGCAUAGUCAGAAUCAACGUACCCAAUAACACCUUUACCAAGUGUAUUAUCCUGCUUGAACAGUAAUCCAACAUCCACGGUCUUCUGAAUAUACCGUAGAAUCCAUUUCACAGCUUGCCAAUGUCCUUUUCCAGGAUUAUGCAUAUACCUGCUCACUAUACUAACUGCCUGUGAAAUGUCGGGUCUUGUACACACCAUUGCAUACAUCAAGCUACCCACUGCAUUAGAAUACGGAACUUGCAACAUGUAUUCUCGUUCCGUAUUCGUCGAAGGAGAUAGUUGUGCAGAAAGCUUGAAAUCAGAAGCCAACAGGGUACUUACAGGUUUUGUCUGCUCGUUCAUGCCAAACUGCUGUAGUACCUUUUUCAAAUACUGCUUCUGAGACAAGCCAACUCUAUCAUGAGCUCUAUCUCUCCCUAUUUCCAUGCCGAGAAUCUUUUUAGCUUCUCCUAGAUCUUUCAUCUCAAACUCGAGAUUGAGUUGAGUCUUCAAUCUUUCAAUCUCAACUUUGCUCUUAGAUGCUAUUAGCAUAUCAUCAACAUAUAAGAGCAAGUAUAUGAAAGUUCCUUCUUGUAGCUUCUGAAAAUACACACAAUGAUCAAAUUUACUUCUUGUGUACCUUUGCCCUUUCAUGAACUGAUCAAAUCACUUGUACCACUGCCUCGGAGAUUGCUUCAAUCCAUAAAGCGACUUUGUCAGUUUGCAAACCCAAUUUUCUUUUCCAGCAACAUUGAAUCCAUCUGGUUGAGUCAUAUAGAUUUCCUCUUCCAAAUCACCGUGUAAAAACGCGAUCUUCACAUCAAGCUGAACUAGUUCAAGAUCAUAUUGCGCAACCAAGGCUAGCAAAAUCUGAAUAGAUGAAUGCUUCACAACUGGAGAAAACACUUCAUUGUAGUCUAUUCCUUCUUUCUGAGCGUAACCCUUUGCUACUAAUCUAGCCUUGUAUCGAAUUUCAUUUUUAUCAGGAAAUCCUUCCUUCUUUGCAUAUACCCAUUUGCAUCCAAUUGCCUUCUUUCCCUUGGGUAGUGUCACCAACUCCCAGGUCUUAUUUUUAUGAAGAGACUGCAUUUCUUCAUUCAUUGCUUGCUUCCACUUUACACCAUCAGGGUUACUUAUUACUUCUGUGUAAGUAGAAGGAACAUCAUCAUCUGUAAUUGGAAGUGCAUAGGCCACUAUAUCAUCAAAGCGAGCAGGCUUACGAAUCUCUCUUCUUGGCCUUCUAUAUGCAAUUGAAUCUUGUUGCUGUAGAGGUUCUUGGGUAGGAACCUCUUCAUCAUUUGUCCCUUCAAUAUUAGCUGGAUCAUCGUUAACCUUUUCAAGCUCCACCUGCUGCAAAGUACUACUGGUUUUGUCAUCCUUUUGUGAAUCCUUGUACUUCAACAUGGUUGAUUCAUCAAAAGUCACAUCUCUACUGAAAACAAUCUUCCUUGUAUCAGGACACCAGAGACGAUAUCCUUUUACUCCAUCAGUUAUACCCAAGAAUAAUGCUUUCUUUGCUCUUGGGUCUAACUUAGAUUCUUUUACAUGAUAAUAUGCAGUGGAACCAAAUACAUGCAAAGAAUCAUAAUCAGUAGCACAUCUCCAUAGGAGUUUUUCCAUUUAUUGCAGCUGAUGGCAAACGGUUAAUUAGAUGUCACGCAUAUGUAACUGCCUCAGCCCAAAAUUCUUUGCCCAAUCCAGCAUUGGACAACAUACAUCAAACUUUCUCCAGUAUAGUUCGAUUCAUUCGUUCUGCCACCCCAUUUUGCUGUGGUGUAUCCCGAACAGUGAAGUGUCGCACAGUGCCCUCAUCUUGGCAUACUUGUAGAAAUGGAUCGUUUUUGUACUCAGUACCAUUAUCUGAUCGAAGUCGUUUGACCUUUCGACCAGUCUGAGUCUCCACCAUCUUCUUCCAUUUCAGAAAUGCAUCCAAAACUUCAAUUUUUCUUUUCAUUAGAUACACCCAUACUUUUCUUGAAUAAUCAUCAACAAAAGUAACAAAAUAGUGCAUACCUCCCAAAGAAGCUACUUUGGUAGGUCCCCACACAUCACUGUGAACGUAGUCCAGAAUUCCUUUCGUAUUGUGAAUUGCUGGACCAAAUUUUACCCUCUUCUGCUUGCCCAGAACACAAUGUUCACAGAAUUCCAUUUUGCAAGAAUUUGCACCUUUCAAUAAGCCUUGCUUCACCAAUGUCUGCAAAGCUUUUUCACCAGCAUGUCCCAAUCGCAUAUGCCAUAAUCUGGUAGCCUCUGAAUCUACAUCUUUUGUAGAAACUGUUGAUGUUGAUCCAAUAACUGUACUUCCAUUUAAAAAAUACAAGUUAUUUCUUCUUGUGCCUUUCAUCACCGUCAGUUGCCCAGCUACUACUUUUAGUAAUCCAUCUCUCAAAGUGAUUGUGAGCCCUUUAGAUUCUAGGGCACCUAAUGAGAUGAGAUUUUCUUCAGGCUAGGUACGUAGCGAACAUCUGUCAAGACUUGGAUUGAGCCGUCGUGAUUCUUCAAUUGGACUGUACCCACUCCCAUUGUCUUACAAGCACUAUCAUUGCCCAUAAGAACAAUUCCACCUUCUAGCUCUUUAAGACUAGAAAACCAGUCCUUAUUAGGACACAUAUGGUAAGUACAUCCUGAAUCCAAAAUCCACUCAUCCGUUUGACAUGCCAUUGCCAUGCCAACCAAGCUAAAGUCUGACUCCUCAUCAUGCUCCGCUACACAUGCAUUAGAAAUAGCCUUGCCCUUUUGUAGCUUAGGACAAUUCUUUUUCCAAUGCACUUUUUCACGGCAAAAGGCACAUUCAUCUUUGGCGGGUCUCCCUUUGGACUUUCCCCUUCUACCAGAUUUGCUGCUGUGUGAACGACCUCUUACUGUUAAGACUUCUGCGGUUGUAUCUCUGUGAUCUCUUUUAUCUUUCUUUCGAGUCUCAGAUCUAUACAACGCACUACAGACUGCAUCAAAUGUGAUCGUGUCCUUCCCAUGAAGCAAUGUGGUGGUAAGAUGAUCAUAUUCAUCAGGAAGGGAAUUCAACAACAAUAAUGCCUUGUCUUCAUCUUCAAAUUUCUCAUCCAAAUUUAGCAAGUCUGCUAAAAUUUUAUUGAAUGAGUUCACAUGGUCAUUCAUCGACAUACCGGGUGCAUACGUGAAUCGAUAAAGUUUCUUUUUCAUAUAAAGCCUAUUUUCAAGACUUUUCGUUAGAAACUUUUCUUCCAGUGUAUCCCAUAACUUCUUCGCUGAUGUCUCCCUCAUGACAGAGUACUUCUGCUCUUUGGCCAAACAUAGGCGGAUUGUACCACACGCCUGUCUAUUGAUCUUGGCCCACUCCUUGUCAUCCAUCUUGUCAGGUUUUUCUUCAAGGGCUAUAUCUAGCUCUUGCUGACAUAAGACAUCCAGGAUCUCACAUUGCCACAUACCAAAAUUAUUGGUACCGUCAAAUUUCUCUACUUCAAAUUUUGCAUUUGUCACAGUAGUCCUUGCUGAUGACGAUGCUGCUGCCAUUUUUCUCCUCAAUCCCAACUACUGUAUACGUGAAUAGUACCGUAUACGUGAAUAGUGCCAUACACGUGAAUAGUACCAUAUACAUAAAUAGUGCCGUAUACGUGAAUAGUACCGUAAACGGUCGUAUUCCCCAAGUACAAACCUGGCUCUGGUACCAAUUGUUGCGCGGAAGCGUGUGAAAGAGUAAAAUUAUUGUACUGAAAAAUCACACUAAGUUCAAUUCCCAGGAAAGAGAGGUGGAUCACGAGGAUCGCUUACAUACCAGAUCUUUCCUAGCUAGAAUAUCCCUCCAUCGUAAUUUAAUAGCACAAUAAAUCACUACAAUGACACUUGCAAAAUAUGCAGAACAAAAAAUAAAGAACACUAGAAUUUUAACGAGGUUCAGCAAAUUUUGCCUACGUCCUCGGGCACUACCAAAUAUAUUUCACUCCAAAAAUACAAGUGAAAGUUUACAAAUAGGGAGAGAGAACAAUUUCCUUAAGUAGUGAAUGGCAAGUGUGGGAUGAAGAAAGUAAGAAAUGGUUAGGCCUAUUUAUAGUUGAGGUUUAAGGAUCAACUUGCAAUGUCCCUAUACAAUUAGGGACCAAAAUUGCAAUUAUCCCAUGCCAACUUUUAACCCAACUUGCCAACCAAUCUUACUUUCUACUUUCGGUGCCCAACCUUUUUGACUUUUCAAACAAUGUGGGUGGGUUCCAAUAGUAUCCCCAUGCUUUGCUUCUUAUAUCUACCAACAAUAUCUUGAUGAUAACAAACUAAAAAAAACUAUUCAAGGGAAUCGAAGAUUUCAAAUCCAACAUAAACGAUUGAAAAUUUCACAUCCACUUAAUUAAUUCAAAUGAUAUUUAUUCAAUAAGUUUAAAUUAAAAACUGCAAGAAUCUUCAUUUAUCUUUUAUUCGAAAUGUAAUUCGGAUUCAAUGAAAAUAUUGAACAUAUAAUGUGUGCACAUGGAAAUGUCCAAAUCUUUAAAUAUAGGGUCGACAUGGGAGAAAUCUCCUAAGACGUUGAAAUUAUUGAGUGCAUUUUCAGAGGAAAAUCCUGAAACAUGUUACAGGCAAAUAUUAAGAAAAACAAUGCACAAGCAUAAGUACAAAAACAUAGCAUGCAAGAAAUCAAUACUUGAAAGGAUUAAAAUCACUGCUAACCUAAGACAUUGAAUCUAGCACCACUAGGAAACAUCCGAAAUGAUACUUGUCUUUCAAUGUUGAGAUACAUAGGUCCAAGUCUGCUAUGUUGCGCCAAACUGGAAUUCAUCAACCUCUUGAGAACCUAAAGGAUGAAAAGUUCCAGUCCAAGUUAUAUAUAUAUAUAUAUAUAUAUAUACACACACACAGAUAGACAUGAAGAAAGUGGGUUAAUGGUGUAUUAUUUAAGUAAAGAAAAAGUUGAAAUCUCGAACCUCUAAAUAUUGGGUAACAGCUAGUGUUAAAAGUGCAUAAAGUUCUGCUAUUAUCUACAAGAAACAAUGGAGGAAUCACAUACAUUGUUUAUAUUCACUUUUCUUGCUACACAAGCAAGCUGAGUCCAUAAACAAAGGCAUACCUUUUCUCCGUUUUUAAAUGGUUUUAUUGUUUCUUGGCUGCUUUUUAUAUUAAGAAGAGAGAUUGUGAGACCUCGUCAUCCUCAAGGAGUAAGUGGUCAAGCAUGAAGAUGAUGGGAAGACCAUGAGUCGAUGGUGGUCAAUCCAUGAGUUGAUUAUGAGUAGUUUCAUGUUAUGAAAUAAAAAUGUUAGCUAAAGUUAGUUGAACGCUGUGUUUUAGGGUUGAGGGUUUAAUGAAACUAUCAGUUUUGAUGUUGAAUGAAAAUGGUGCGUAUUGACGGUUUGUUACAACUGCUCGAGGAACAGCCCUAUAACAGACUUUGUAACUGCCAAUUCUCAGCCAUAAUAGAAACUGGCAUGGGAAAUGGGCAGAUAUGCCAUUUUGUGAAGGAAAUCAAUUCUUUCUUCUUCCACGAUUCUCUUUCUCUUCUCUCUUUUUCUUUCUUCCUCUAUUCUGUUGAAAUUAUGCAUCACUUCACCAGCAUUCAUCAUUGUGGACGUAUCUGAUCUUCAGUCUCUGGUUUACUGCCCAUGUAAAGUUAUGGAAAGGAAUGCAAAUUUAAAAGGUUUUCUUGCUAUUGUCUAUGCAAUUUCAUGUGUGCGUGAAAGGAGAUGAAGAUUAAUAGAGUAAUACUGAUAUACCAACAAUUCAUUAAUUGAAGUACUAUCAAUAUUAUCAACAAGUAACAGGAUUAAGUGAGUAUACUAAUAUAGUCUAGAAAAACAAUUUAAUUAAUAAUACCAUAGGGAUGGCAAGAGGGUGAAGUUGCUAUUGCUAUUUAUAUCUCAGCUGCUAGCUUUUGACGACUUCACCAAGUAAACUGCAAUUACAAGUGUUGUUCUUAUUACCUGCAAAAACACAGCCAACAAUCUGAAUCCAUAUCCCCAUUUUAGGAACAAAUGCAUGGUGUACCAUUUGUUUCGAAGCCAAAUCAAUUUUCUUAAUUUUUCUUGAAGUAAAACCUUAUCUGACACUUAUAUUCAACACAUAUUCAUGUAUUGGUGUGAAGAUAUGACACUCUUAUCCUAUACUCAUAUCCGUGCUCAGGUAACAUAAGCUGAACCCGCAAGAUAACUGAUUUAACAUUGCAUUGCUGCUAGCUAUUGAUGAUUUCACCAAGUAAACUGCAACCACAAGUGUUGUUCUUAUUCCUUGCAAAAACACAGUCAACAAUCUGAAUCCACAUUCCCAUUUUCGGAACAAAACCAUGCCGUACCAUUUGUUUCAAAGCCCAAUCAACUUCCUUUACCAUCUUCCCCUUACAAAAACCAUGAAUCAACUUCUUGUAUGAAUCAAAACUAGGAUUAACCCUCUCGAAAGCCACAUUUGUUAGUAUGACUAUUUUGGGUAACCAAAGGAAAAAAAAAAUGUUAGCUGUUGAGCAAACAAGGUGAACAAAUUAGAUAUUCCAAUUACGUUCAAGCACUUGACAAAUCCUUUCUGCAAUGGCUUCAGCACACAUCCUAGGACCUUCAUCAUCUGCAAAAACCGACCAUUUCUAACAACUAAGCUAACAUCACACAUGAUAAUAUAUGUAUAUAACAUAUAUAGAAGAUGAGUAUGUGGAUUAAAAGCUAUGUUAGUUUGACUCAAUACAUGACCAUGGGACAUGCACGAUUCUUCAAUAAUGAUACGAAAAUAAUUGGAAGAAAAAUUAAAUACAUCAAUAUCUAACAUUUACAUCUGAGUAUGUUUAAUGGUACUCUUUCUUUAGCCAAAAUUUGGCUUCUUUUAGUAGCUAUUCUGACCCAUUUUUCUUUGACCAAAAUGCCCUUGAACAUGUCUUUUUAUUGGGGUUUUAGUUGGACAAGGAGUACCCCUGAUGUCAUUUUUGGUCCCCUCACGACAAUAUUGCAAUAACCAACACAGGGUAUCGUGAUAUCGUGGACUGUCUCAAAUGAGGGUCUUCCUUGGUAGCUGGGUAUCACGAUACCUAAGGGGAUAUCAUGAUACCACUAUAGGUGGUCUUCAUUUCAAGCUUGUGGGAGGUAUCGCUAUGUCCAUGUUGUGAUGUCGUGAUACCCCUUUCCUUAUGUUUUUGCACAAUUUCGGGUCACCGUCAAGUUCCUACAACACUUAAUUGAUCGUUAGGGUCCAAAUGGCACAUUUAUCAAUUUGAGUCUCAAAAUGAGCACAAAACACAUUAAACAUUUAUUAAAUCAAAAAUAAAAAUCUACGCUAAACUACGGAAACACACUAAUUUGCUUGAAAACAAGCUCUUUAAGUAUAAUGAGGAACCCUAAAUUGACAUAUCAAAUUACUGUAACUCAGUUGUCUUUUUGAUUCGAACCCACAACCUAAGUUGUUGAGUUGAUCACCCAAUGUCACUAGGCGAAGAGUUUGGGUUCUAUGUACUAACUUGAAGUUGAGGCAUAUUAUAAAGAAGAUUUCAAUUUGACAUGUUUAAUUUUUUUAAUUUAAAUCGAAUAAAUUUAUUUAACUCGACUUAAAUUUUAUUUUACUCAACUUGAUUAAAAAAAUUUCAAAUCAAGUUAAGAUGAUAAAAUAGGAUUCAUGAACUUGAUGUAGUCGAAUUUUUUUUUACUAGAUUCGAUCAAACGCUCAACCCGUUAGGUGAGAUGAUGUUUAGGGAUUUGAUUUGUAAAAUCAUUUUUUUCUCAAUCAUUCCUCAUAAUAUAGAAAAUAAUAAGUUAAGUUAUGCCAUUAGUCCUUGUACUUUACAAAAAGUUGUGGAUAUAAUCUAUAUACUUUAGUUUGGUCAUUUUUAAUAAAUGUACUUUUCAAAUUUGAAAAUUUCAAUCCUCACCAAACGAUAACUGUUAAAUUCAUUAAGUUAAGCUUUGUUAUUUUCAAAAUAUUACAUGACAAACAAAUUAUUAUAUGUGUAAUGCCAUGUCAACUUGUUAUUUUGACAUAUUACUCACCAAAAUUUCACUUAAUGGAUUAACGACUUUCAUUCAUGUGGAGACUAAAAUUUCAAAAUUCAAAAGUAGAGGGACUUAAAAUGAUCUAAUUGGAGAAAAUAGACUAAAUCUAUAACUAUACUCAUAGUAUAAGACUAGUAAUUGAAUUUAUCCAAAUAAAUUUAAUUGCUACAGUUUGGGUUAAAACUAAAAUUUCAAAAUUAAAAAAAAAUACAGAAAUUGAAGUUGAUAAAUUCAAAAAAAUAUACAUAUUAAAAUUGAUCAAAUUAAAAGUAAACUGACUAACCUUAAUUUUUCUGAUAAUCUUUCUUUUCCCUUAAUUAAAUGACCAUGAUGUAUACUAUAUAUCUUAGUAUAUAAAUAUUUUAAAAAUAAAUAAAUAUAUGUAUGUUGGACACAUAUUCAAGUUUGAUAUUCGUCUUAAAUAUAUGUAUGUUGGACACGUAAUCUUUUUCAUUGUUUAAUAUCCUAAUCCUUAAUUAAUUUAAUAAUAUUUGUUACGAUAGGGUCUAAUGGCUGCAAUUUAUCUUGACACUUUCGAAGCAAAAAAUAAAAAAUAAAAAAAUCAAAUUUCACCGAUUAAUUACAUGCCAACACAUAUAACCCACGAUAUGUUUAUCUCAAAGAUUUAAAUAAGAUAAACUAAAUCACAAAGAAAACAAACGAGUAAACAUAAUCUAGAAAUUCCAAAUUUACAUUAUCUAACAGAAAUUCAAUAAGAAAUAAAAGGUUGCAUUUCAUUCUUUAGGGAUUUGCUCUUAUAUCUUCCAACAAUAGCUUGAUGAUAAUAAGCUGAAAAAGAAAAGGAGUCCAAGGGAAUUGAAGAUUCUUAAUUCAGCUAGCUUAAUUGAUUGAAUACUUCAAAUACACUUAAUUAAUACCAAUGAUAUUUAUCAAUAAAUCUAAAAUUUGCAUCCUACUUUGUAAAAACUGCCAGAAUGAAAUCAAAUUAUCUGAUUUCAAUUCUCUUCAAAUUUUAGUUUACAACUUCUAUUUUUGGGUUUCCAUUUGUUUCAACUUUUAAAGCAAGCAUUGAUUCAAGAAAUAUUUAUUUCAUUUGACUUAUUUGCUUUUCUAAUUUUAUGUUAUUCAGAUUCGAUGAAAAUAUUGAACAUAAUAUGUGUGCAAGUCAAGAUGUCCGAGUCUUACAAUGUAAGGUUGAAACGGGAGAAAUAUCCUAAAAGCUGAUGCUAAAAGAUUUAUAAAAUUCAGUAUAAUCAUUUUGUUUUCAUUAUAAAACUCAAUGUUAAAAUGUCUAUGAUUCGAGAUUAUGAUACAAGAGAAAAAUAGCUAACUAUUUUAAGUUCAAGGUGUGAGAAAAUCUCAAUAGCUAAGAUAUGAAUGUUGUAAAAUACCACUCAAUCACACAGAAAUAUAUACACACAGAAAGACCACUCAAUCACAGCCACAUUUGUUAGUAUGACUACUUUGGAUGAAAAGUUCUAUUCCAAGUUAUAUAUACACACAGAAAUACACAUGAAGUGGAUUAAUGGUGUAUUAUUUAAGUCAAGAAAAAGGGUUCUAACUAAAAGAAAGAGUUGAAAUCUUGAACCUCUAAAUAUUGGGUAACCACUGGUGUUAAAAAGUGCAUAAAGGUCCGCGCUUAUCUACAAAAAAACAAUGGAGGAAUCACGUUCAUUGUUUAUAUUCAUUUUUUUUUUGCUCCACAAGCAAUCCAAAACCAUAAACAAAGGAAUACUUUUUUUCGCCUUUUUAAAUGGUUUUCUUGUUUCUUUUUCGCUUUUUAAAUUCUUCAUUCAAUUCAAGUUCAAGAAACCAUACUAAAUAUAUAUAUUUAUAUUUAUAUUCACUUUUCUUGCUACACAAGCAAGCCAAAAUCAUAAAUAAAGGCACGCUUUUUUUUCCCUUUUUUUAAUGAUUUUCUUGAUUCUUUGUUGUUUUUAAAAUUCUUCAUUCAAUUUAAGUUCAAUAAACCAUAUUAAAUAUAUAUAUUUAUAUUCACUUUUUUUUUGCUACACAAGCAAGCUGAAACCAUAAACAAAGGCAUACAUUUUUCUCCUUUUUUAAAUGGCUUUCUUGUUUCUUUGUUGUUGUUUUUUAAUUCUUUGCUCAAUUCAAGUUCAAGAACCCAUACUAAAUAUAUGUGUUUAUAUUCACUUUUCUUGCUACAUAAGUAAGCUGAAACCAUAAACAAAGGCAUACUUGUUUUCCUUUCUUACCGUGGCUACCUUUUAGAUUCUUUAUUCAAUUCAAGUUCAAGAAAUCAUACUAUAUAUAUAUAUUCACUUUUCUUGCUACACAAGUCAACCGAAACCAUAAACAAAGGCAUAACUUUUUCGCUUUUUUUAAAAUGAAUUUUUCUUUGCUGCUUUUUAAAAUUUUUAUUCAAUUUAAAUUCAAAAAACCCUACUAAAUAUAAAUAUAUAUAUAUAUAUUAAGAGAGAGACCUCAUCAUCCUCAAGCUUGAUGGGAAGGCCACAAGUCGGUGGUGGUCAAAUCAUGAGUUGAUUAUGAGUAGUUUCAUGUUAUGGAAAAAAGAUGUUAGUUAAAAUUAGUUAGUUGAGAGUUUAAUGAAACGAUACGUUUUGAUGUUUAAUGAAAACGGUGCGUAUUGAAAGUUUGAUACAACUACUCAAGUAACAAGCCUAUAAUAAACUUUGUAACUACCAAUUCUGAAGCAUUACAGGAACUGCCAACUUUUAAUUUUAUUUGUAAUCCUGGCUUUAAAAAAAAUAUUCCAAAUAUGCUUCCUCUCCCUAUCAUUUUUGUUAUUUUUCAAGUGCCCUUACCAUAAUAUUUUUUAAUGGGUAAAUUAUAAAAAUAGUCACUUAAUUAUUGCUUUCAUUCUAUUUUAAUCACUAAAUCGAUUUAGUUAUUAAAAUUUUCGAAAUUAAAUAUUUUAAUCACUCUCAGUUUUCGUUAGAUGAGUGAUAGGAAGUUAAUGUGAGCUGUUUUUAUUGGUCUAAUAACAAAUUUAAUCAUCUAAUGUUUACACAUUCUAUUAAUUUAAUUUUAAAUAUAAAAUGUUCAACAGAUUUAACCCUAAAUAUUUACAAAAUCUAUUGUUAUAGUUCGAAUCCUAAAAAUUUCAAUAAGUUUAGUCCUCAAAAUUUGUAAAUUUAAUUUUAAUUCCAAAAAUUUUAGAAAAAGGAAAGAUGUAUUUUAUGUCAUAUAAAAGAAAAUCUAGCUCCAUCCAACAUUUUAAAUUCUUUUCUUUUCUCUUCACAUUUUCAUGGCAACGAAAAAACCAAGUCAUGGAUGAAUUAAGCAAAUUAAUUAAAAUCAAAUAAAUCGAACAAGGAUUUUAAUUAAAAAGAAAUUCUUCACAUGCAUCAAGGAGGGACUUCCUCUGGUGGUAUCAAGGGGAUUGAUAGAAACAGCUCAGGCUCGAACAAGAACUUCAUUGGGCUUAAGAUCAGGAACAGACACAUCGGACCAAAGCUGCAACACCUCAGGUCCUCCGAACCGAGGCAGCAAUACCGCACUGUAACUGUUGACAUAGCACCGAAUUGAACCCACUUUCAACUAUAACUCCAUAAAGGGUUUAGGUUUUAAGCUUUGAAGUUCCCUUUUUUCUACUCAAAUUUACUGAAUUUCAGCUCCUUCCUUUUGUUAAAUGAAGGAAAAGCAGAGGAGAGACACGGAAGUGUUUUAAUCCACAUAGAAAAAAGUGAUUGUGUGACUUGUGAGUGGGCGCCUAUGGGGCGUGGAAGAAGAAGAUGAACAUUGCAUAAUCAAUUUUUAAUUGCUUAUUACAUUCAUAAUUUAAUAAAUAAAAAUUUCUAACCUUAUCUAUUAAAUCAAGUUAGAAUGUUCAACUUAAUUUUUGUUUGUUAUAAGUAUCACAUAUUAUAAAAAUUAAUUAUAUUUUAAUAAUUAUAUAAUAUUGAUUGAGUUAUUAUUUUUAAUUAUAUCAUCUGAUACCAUCUUGAGGACUAAAUUUAGAAUUAGAACUAAAUUGACAAAUUUCAGAAAUUUUGAGAUUAAAUUUAUUUUUAUUUUUAAGAAUUUGAACUAAAAUGAGAAAUUUUGUAAAUAUUGAGGAUUAAAUUUGUUGGAAAUUUUAUAUUUAGAAUCAAAUGGAUAGAAUGUCUAAACAUUAGGGGCCUAAAUUUGUUAUUAGACCAAUAAAAACAAGUUCAUACCAAUUUCCUGUAGCUCAUUUGCAACUAACGAGGAAAUGAUUAAAAUAUUUAAUUUCUAAAAAUUUAAUGACUAAAUAAAAAAAUUAAUAUUUAAGUAAUCAAAAUAGAAUGAAAUCAAUAAUUUGAUGACCAUUUUUGUACUGUACCCUAUCUUAAUCCAUCUCACAACCAAAUUUCUCCGUCUUUGCCUAAUUCCUUUGUCUUUGUCAAAUUUUAAUAAAAUUAACAUUUUUAUUUAAAAAAUAUCUUUAAUAGUUUAAUAUAUUUUUAAUAAGUAAAUGUUAAUUUCGUUAAGGGUCAGUUUGUUUACAUGUAAAAAGUUAAAAAUAAAAAUAUUGAGUUAUAUAAUAUGAGUCUAUUGAACCGAUUCAAUCAUAAAUUUUAUUAUUAUUGGUUUACAUAAUGGUUUGAUUUUGAAAAUAUUUGGUUUAACAUUUAGUCAUCCCUUUGAUCAAUUUUAAAUUUUAGAAAUAAUUUUGUUUUUUGUUUACAUUUAAAUGUACAGUUUCUAAUGCAUAUGUGUUACAUUUGAUUUCAAGACUUUAAUUCUUAAUUACUUUUUAAAAUAAUAGUUUCUUUUAGUUUUUAAAUAAUCUAUAAAUUUAUAAUUACAUAAGAAAAUAAACUAUAAUAUUAAUUUUUUAAAAAUUAAGUAAAACAACAUGCAAUAAUUUUUAUAAUAAUUAAGGAUAAAUAUGAAAAAUAUUCACAAUUAUAAAACAAAUGAAAUUAUAUAUACAAAUUUAUAAGUGAAAAAUAUACAUAAUUAUAUUCAUAAAAAAUACAAACAAGGUUAUAAAGUAAUUCAUAGGAAUAUAGCUUUCUUGUUUCUAUUCUCAUUCGAUUAUGAAUAUACCUUUCUUGUUAGUAUUCUCAUUCUAUUUUGAACAUACCUUUCUUGCUUGUAUUCUCAUUCUAUUGAUGAUUAAUGCUGCUUUCUAAUUUUUUAUAAAUUUAAUAGAACUAUUACUACCAGCACAAACUAUUAAGGUGUCAAAUGUCCCAUCACAAUUUAACUUUAACCCAACCUUCUGGUGGUUUCUCCCAAAUAUCAGCACAAGUAUUUGACUUCCUAGUUCGAUCAGAGUUAUUGUUUGAACAGAGGAUCCAUUGAGCAGAUAAGAAUUCAUUCAUGGAGAAAUUAAUCCUUCGAAUAAUUCUCUCCAAACCAAGUUUCACACCUCCAAUUGUAAGCUCACACCUAGCUUUGCAGAUGGGCUAGCAAGUGAAAACAAUUCUAACUUUGAAAUCCUCCCUCAUACAAGGCAUUUGUAACAACUUUGAGAACCAUCUGUCAAAGAUCAUUUAGCCCUUGAAGACCAAAACAAGCCUCAUACUAUAUUCCCCUAACCCAAUUACAACUAAGAAUAAUAUGUUCAAAGUCUCAUCUUCAAUACCACAUAAACAACAAAAUUGGGUUCGAAACACACUUUCUUUUCCACGGAUUAAAACGAGAUGGAAUGGCAUUAUGACACAAUUUCCAUAAGAAAAUUUUAACUUUCUUCGGUACCUGUAAGCUCCAAAUAGCUUUCCAAGUGAGAGCUGGAAGGUUGUAAAGAAGACUCAUUUCCAUAGUGCUUUCUCAACUCCUUGUACCCUGACUUCAUAGGAUAUUGACCAACAGCUGUAAACGGCCACACCAAUUUAUCUUGUUCAUCUGUUUCAUGAAGAGGAACUUUAAAUUUCGUAAUUUCAAUAUCUUCUAACCAUAUUGAGAUACUGGGUAAGUCCCAAUUUAGUUCUUCUAAACAAAUGAUCUCAGCAACUCUUGUUGGCGAGGAUCCGUUAAUAUUUCCAGGAUGCUUUAAUUUCCUAUCUUUUAACUCCCAGCAACCAUCUAUCUUCCCAAAUGCGGAUGCUUUCGCCAUUUAGCACUUGCCAAAUCAAAGUCUCCUUUCAAAAACUCUUUCCCUUCAAGAAUGCUACUCCACACCCAUGAUGACCUAGCUCCCUUUUUAGCUUCAAGGAAAUUAGAAUUCGGGAAAUAAAGUCCUUUUAAAAUCCUAGCCCAAAGAGCAUCAGCAUCCUGGACUAACUGUCAAGAUUGUUUUGCAAGUAGAGCAAGUCCUCCAAGCUUUUCAAUGAAUACGUCUCUCAUUUUCCUUCUGCUGAAUUCAUUUCCACGAAUAAGUUUUUAGGAAAUUCGAAAAGAUAUCGUAUACAUUGAAGCGCAUGCUACUGCUUUAAUAAGAACCUCCCUUCCCCCUCAAGAUAAUGUUUGCUGCUUCCAGCCCUUAAGUUUGGUAAGGAACUUAUCUUUUUCUUUAUUUUUUUUUUGGUGAAAGUAAGGACCUUAUCUUUGAUACGCCUCAAAGUUAAUGUUUUCGAAAGCCCCCACAAAGAAGGGAAACCCAAGUAGACGUCCGAAUUAUUUGCCACCUCUAUGUUAGUCUCUUCUUGAAUCAACCUUUCGUUGUCCCUUCGGGAGUAUUCACACUAAAAUCGUUGCUUCAUUUAUCAUAAUUGACCCUUCGUCUAGAAGCUGCACAAUAUUCUUGAAUCAAGUUAAUCAUUCUCCUGCAAUUUAACGAACUCGCUUCCAAAAAGAAUAGAAAUCGUUCGUGAAUAACAAAUGUGACACUACUGGAUAAUGACUACUAAGGCUAAUCCCAGAAAUAAAACUAGACUCGACUCUAUUAAUAAUCAUUACCCCUAGAACUCCUUUCAAUAUAUUCACCAUGAUCUUCGAUAUGAUUUAAUACUUAAAAUUACACAGACUAAUUGACCUAAAUUAUGUCAUUAAUUCAAAACAUUUAGUUUUCAGAAUUAAAAUUAUCUCAAUCUCAUUUGAAAAUUUCCCUUCCCUAAAAAAAAAAACUCUUAAUAGCUUCCAAAACAUCCUUUUUAAUAAUUUCCCAAUAAUUAUGAUAGAAAAUCCUAUUAAAAUCAUCCACGAAAAAAGAGAUUAAUUUAAUUGUUUUGUAUGCUUAACUUGUACAAUAUAAGUAAAAUCUUAUAAUUUUAUCUCCAAAUUCUCUCAACAAAUCUUUCUGACCCUUAUUUAUAAUCUCAUUUGUAUCUAACAGGAUAUCCAAUUUAAAAUCAAAUAAUCUUUUUUAUAUAAUUCUUUAAAUAUUAAAAGUAUUUUCCUCUAUUAUUUUUUGUUGUUGGAGUAUUAAAUAUUAGCCUUAAAACCAUAAGGCAUGAACUAUUCCAAACAACCCUUAAAAAGAUAUGUAAAUUUUGUGUUUGAAUAUCAUUUUUACUUUUUUAGAUUUCAAAUUGGAUAGUGAAUUAUAUAUUUAUUUAUUUGAAACUCCUCUUAAAUUAAUGAGAGUGAAGUUUCUUAUUUAGUAUUGAUUGUUCUAUAAAGUAUUCAAAUUUUUCAAAUAGAUUUAUUUUUUCAAGUGUAGUUAAUAACCGCAAUAAAAACUAAAUUUUAUAAGUGAUGAUUUUAUAUUAAAAAUUGUUUGAUAAAUUCAUAAAAUAUAAGUUUGGGUUCAUCUACUUUUACAUUUCUUUUACCUAUUUAAAUUAUUUCUUAAUCUUCCUUAUUUUUUAAAAAUUUAUUCUUAAUUUUUUAUACAGGAAAUAUAAUCGACGUCGUGGAAAUGAAAAAUUUAGGAGAGAACAUGGUUAAACAUUGUGCAAGGCUUCCAUUAGCCAUUGUUGUAUUGGGAGGACUUUUGGCUACAAAGAAUAAUUCAUUAAACGAAUGGCGAAAGAUAUCUGACAAUGUAAAAUCAUACUUGAAGAAAGGCAAAAAUCAAAGACCAGAGGAUGUGUUAGCAUUAAGUUAUGAUGAUUUGUGUUGGUGCAAGAACAGAAUCAAGCAGACUCAGCAAGUAUCUUGUCGAGCAAGCCUUAAAACUUGCUGAGCAAACAAACAAUUUCGAGUUAAAGAAAGAAGAGAAUAAGCUGGGAAAAUUUGAGAGAAUAUUGAUGAACAAAAGCUGAUUUCCAUUCAUACAUUGAACAAUGGCAUAAUGCCAAUACAUAAACCAAGCAAUUUGCUUGUCAAAAUCUGCAUAAUGAUACCUAAUCAUCACCUACUACCACUAAUACAUUGAAACUUGAAAAACUAAGCUUGCACACUUAAACAAAGCUGACUUAACAGCUUAAUUGUCAUCAAAAUACAUCAAUCAUAAACCUAACAUAGUUCUAAAUGAACUAAAGUACAUUACAUUAACUUAAGAUUACAAGUUGAUCAAAAUAGGAAUAGUUCAGCUCGUUCCAGCAGCUCCUGCAUGACUUGGUCUUGAUGGCCUGCAUGCUGUCGAGUUUGCUGCAUGCUGAACCAACUUCAUCACUCCUCCUUGGUUUGCAUGGAGCAAACACCUAGCAUCUUUCUUAGAUAUUCAAACCUUGUGACACUAAGAGCUUUGGUUAAAAUGUCAGCAAGUUGAUCCUCUGAAUUACAGUGGAUCAGCUUUACUUCCUGAGCUUGCUCCAUUUCUCGAACAACAUGCAACUUGAUGCUGAAAUGUUUUGUUCUUCCAUGGAACACUGGAUUUUUAGCAAUUGCUACUGCAGAUUGAUUGUCACAGAAGAUCUCUGUUGCUUCCAUUUGAUCCAUAUUCAAAUCAGCCAGGAUUUUCCUAAGCCAAAUGGCUUGGUUGACAGCACUUGCUGCUGCCACAUACUCUGCUUCAGCCGUAGAUUGUGCCACCAGACUUUGCUUCUUCGAGCUCCAGCAGAACAUGGCUGAACCAAGUCUAAAAGCAUACCCUGAGGUGCUUUUCAUGUCAUCUAUCGAUCCAGCCCAGUCACUAUCAGUGUACCCAACUAGAUUUAGAUUUCCUUUUCUGCUGUACCUUAAGCCAUAGUCCAAAGUGCCUUUGACAUAUCUGAGCACUCUCUUGGCAGCCUGGAAAUGCUUCUCAUUGCAACAAUGCAAGAACCUUGAGAGCAAUCCUACAGCAUACAUUAUGUCUGGUCUAGUGGCAGUCAAGUAUAGCAAACAACCAACUAGACUCCUGUAGGUAGUUUCACAUACCUUCUCAAAAUCUCCUUGGCUCGAUAGUUUUUCUCCAACAGCUACAGGUGUUUUAGUUGGUUUGCUGUUUUGCAUGGAGAACUUGGUCAGAAUCUUUGUGGCAAAGCUCUUCUGACUUAAAAAUAUCCCAUUCUGUGCUUGAGUCACCUCCAUUCCAAGAAAAUAGGACAUCUCCCCAAGAUCAGACAUUUCAAACACCUCUUGCAUCUUGGUCUUGAAAUUAACCAGCACUGCUUGAUCUCCUCCUGUCACCAGCAGGUCAUCAACAUAUAGGGACACAAUGAGUUGUGUUUGUGUCCCUUGCUUCUUGACAUACAGUGUUGGCUCACUCUUGCUUCGAUUGAAUCCCAGAUCAGUCAAGUAGCCAUCGAUUCUGCUGUACCAGGCCCUUGGAGCCUGUUUUAAGCCAUAUAGGGCCUUCUUCAAUUUGUAGACCAUAUGCUCUCUGCCAGCUAUUUCAAACCCUUGUGGUUGUUCAACAUAGAUGUCUUCAUCUAAGAAACCAUUCAGAAAGGCUGAUUUCACAUCAAGUUGAUGAAUCUUCCAUUCGAGCUGUGCUGCUAAGGCAAUCAGCAGUCUGAUGGUGUCGAGCCUGGCCACUGGUGCAAAGGUCUCCAAGUAGUCCAAGCCAUACCUCUGACUGAACCCCUUGACCACUAGCCUUGCUUUUAACUUGUUCAAGGUACCAUCAGCAUUCUGCUUGGCUUUGUACACCCAUUUCACCCCAAUCACCUUCCUUUUGACUGGCCUUUCAACCAAUUCCCAGGUCUGGUUCUUCUCAAUCAUGCUGAUCUCCUCAGCCAUUGCCUGCUUCCACCCUUGUUGAGCCUCAGCCUCUUCAAAGUUGCUUGGUUCAGCUAUGGCUACAUGAGCCCUUUCAUAAACCUCAGCCAAUGACCUUGUUCCUCUGACUGGUUCAUCAUCAAUAUCCAUUUCAGGGACAUUUUGGUCUGGCUCAGCUUGGUCUACUGCAAGUUCUUCAGAAACUUCUUCAGGUUCAUGUCUUUCCCAGUUCCAACAUGACCUCUCAUCAAAUACCACAUCCCUGCUUAUUGAUACUUUGUUUGUUGAAGGAUCUAAAAUCCUAUAGCCCUUCUUAACAGUGCUAUACCCCACCAAAACACCAGGUCGAGCCCUUUCAGACAAUUUGUCCCUUUUAACAGCAGGUACAUGUGCAUAACAGAUGCAUCCAAAGACCUUCAGAUGAGCCAAUGAUGGCUUGAAGCUAAACCAGGCCUCGAAUGGGGUCUUUUGAUCCAAAGCCUUGGUUGGAAGUCUAUUUUGAAUGUAUGUUGCAGUGUUAACUGCUUCUGCCCAUAGUGCUUUAGGCAGAUUUUUCUGAAUCAUCAAGCACCUGGCCAUAUCCAUCAAACUCCUAUUCUUCCUUUCACUUACCCCAUUCUGCUGAGGUGUAUAUGUGUUGGUAAGUUGAUGUUUGAUGCCUGCCUUAUCACAGAAGGCUUGGAACUGAGCUGAGGUGUACUCAGUCCCAUUAUCAGACCUUAUGGUCUUCAGCUUGCAGCCUGUUUCAGUCUCAGAAGCAGUCUUGAACUUCCAAAACACUGAGGCCACUUCAGAUUUCUGUUUUAAAAAGUAAAUCCAGCAAUAUCUCGAGAAAUCAUCAAUGAACAGUAUGAAAUACCUGUUUCCACUUAAUGACUCAGUCUUCAUAGGGCCACACACAUCAGUAUGCACCAGUUGGAGUUUUUCAGAGGCUCUCCAGGCUUGAUUCGAGGGAAAUGGGAGUCUGGCCUGCUUUCCUAGCUGACAUACAUCACAUACAUCAUCAUGGUCAACUGAGUUGAUGAAAUUUUCAGCCAGGUCCUCUCUGACCAUUCGAGCCAUCGAUCUGAAGUUGGCAUGUCCCAAUCUUUGAUGCCACAGCUUGGAUUCAUCUGAAGUGGCUGUGUAGGCAAUGUCUGACUUUUUUGUCCAGUCAACCACAAAGCUCUUAUCAGCCAUAGGGACUGCCAUCAGUUUGGAUCCACUUGGAUCACUGAUUUGGCAAUGGUGGUCUUUAAACACAACUGAAUAACCUUUUUCCAGCAACUGAGCUAUGCUGAGCAGGUUUCUGUCAAUUUCAGGUACCAACAGCACAUUUGAAAUCACUUUGGUACCUGUAAGGGUGCAUAUCAGCACAUCACCCUUGCCUUCAGCUUGAAUAAAAUGACCAUUUCCUAUCUUGACUUUAGUUCUGCAGCUUCUGUCUAAAGACUUGAAGAUUGCAGCAUCAGGUGUCAUGUGGUUGGUGCAUCCACUGUCUAGAAGCCAACCAGAUGAGGACUUUUCCUGAGCAGCUGAGCAUGACACAGCAAAGACUUGCUCCUCUUGGUCACUGUCCUCCUUAGCUACUCGAGCCUCAGCUUUCAUCUGUUGAAACUGAUUCUGCCUCGAUUUGGUCUUACUCUUGCAGACUCUCUCAACAUGACCCUUCUUCUUACAAUGCUGACACACAGCAUCUGGAUUGAACCAGCAUUUUUCUUCUGAAUGACCAGCCUUUCUACAGUGCUUGCAAGUCUGACCUUCUCUCCUUGCAGCAUCAUUCUUUGGCUUGUCUCUCCAGGCCUUCUUGCCUUUGUAGGCAGUAUUUGUUCUUGCCUGAAAGGCACCUUCUUGGUGCUCCUCCAGUCUGCUUGCUCUCCUCUGCUCUUGAGCAUAUAGAGCAUUGAUCAACUCUGUCAGGGAGAUGGUGGACAGAUCCCUUGAGUCCUCGAGAGAUGAGAUUUUUGCCUCAUACCUCUCAGGCAGAGUUGCUAUAACCUUCUCCACUAUCCUAGCUUCAUUGAACUGCUCUCCAAGGAGCCUGAUGCUGUUAACCACAGCCAUAAUCCUGUCAGAAUAUUGCUUGACAGUUUCUUCUUCCUUCAUCUUCAAAUUCUCGAAAUCUCUCCUCAAAUUUAACAACUGUUGCUGCCUUGUCCUCUCAGUCCCUUGAAACUCUUCCUGCAACUUAUCCCAGGCCUGUUUUGGUGAUUCACAGGCCAUAAUCCUUGUGAAAAUCACAUCAGACACUGAGUUUUGGAUGCAAGACAUAGCUUUGUGCCUCUUGGUCCUUUCAUCAGCAUGCUGCCUGAUCUGAGCCACUGUUGGAUUAGCUCUAAGUGGCUCUGGUUCAACAUCAAAGUUGACCACCUCCCACAGAUCGAAAGCCUGCAGGUAGGUCUUCAUUUUGACCACCCAUAUGUGAUAGCCUUCUCCAUUGAAGACUUGAGGUGCAGCUGGUGAAAAGCUUGAUGAAGCCAUGGAAAUUGAGUAACAGAUCCCUUAAGAAAUAGGCUCUAGAUACCAAUUGUUGGUGCAAGAACAGAAUCAAGCAGACUCAGCAAGUAUCUUGUCGAGCAAGCCUUAAAACUUGCUGAGCAAACAAACAAUUUCGAGUUAAAGAAAGAAGAGAAUAAGCUGGGAAAAUUUGAGAGAAUAUUGAUGAACAAAAGCUGAUUUCCAUUCAUACAUUGAACAAUGGCAUAAUGCCAAUACAUAAACCAAGCAAUUUGCUUGUCAAAAUCUGCAUAAUGAUACCUAAUCAUCACCUACUACCACUAAUACAUUGAAACUUGAAAAACUAAGCUUGCACACUUAAACAAAGCUGACUUAACAGCUUAAUUGUCAUCAAAAUACAUCAAUCAUAAACCUAACAUAGUUCUAAAUGAACUAAAGUACAUUACAUUAACUUAAGAUUACAAGUUGAUCAAAAUAGGAAUAGUUCAGCUCGUUCCAGCAGCUCCUGCAUGACUUGGUCUUGAUGGCCUGCAUGCUGUCGAGUUUGCUGCAUGCUGAACCAACUUCAUCAAUUUGCCUCCCUAUCUAAGACCAUGUUUCCUCCAUCUAAGCCAUUUUCCGGAGGAUUAUAUGAUAGAUGUGGAUAGAUUGACUCAAUUAUGGGUUGCUGAAGGUAUUGUGUCAUCAAAGCAAGAAGAAAGAAAUUGUGGACAAAUUGCGGAAGAUGUGGCGGAAUCUUAUUUAACGGAGCUUGUGGAAAGGUGUAUGAUUCAAGUACGAGAAAGAGAUGUGGCAACCUUAAAGGUCAAAACAAUUCAGAUGCAUGAUCUGAUGAGAGAUCUUUCCUUAUCAAAGGCAAAACAAGAAAAUUUUGUCUUCAUUGUCGAUCAAUCAAAUGCAUCUUCAUUAUCUAUGAUUCGGAAGGUUCGAAGGGUUUCUGUGCAUGAGUUUUUUUUCAUACAAUGCAUUAAAAGUCCAAAUAUUCGGUCACUUUUGUUCUUCAAUGAGUUCUUUCCGGAGGAGGCAUUAGAAAAAUCUUUGCCCUUGGAAGUGUUGAAUUACGUUGAAGAACAUGAAGAUGAAGUUUGUAAUCCACUUGUUUGGAUUCUUAUGAUUUCGCGAACUGGUACGAGCUUUCUUAAUGCUCGGGGAAUUUGGAGAUACAUGUUCAACAACUUCAAAUUGCUAAGAGCCCUAAACUAUGAGAGAACAACAGGUGAUCGUUUUGUAGGGUUUAAGUUACCCAGUGAUAUAGGUAAUCUCAUCCAUUUAAGAUUCUUGAGUCUAAAGGAUCUUGAGUUCACAUGGCCAAAGUUGCCAUCAUCUCUAGGCAACUUAAGGUGCUUGCAAACCUUGGAUUUAAGAGUUGAUAGUUACAAAAUUCAUGUACCUAAUGUGAUAAGGAGGAUGGAGCAACUAAGACAUUUAUAUCUCCCUUGGAGAUGUAAAAGUAGAACUAAGUUGAAGUUGGGUACUUUGAGAAAACUCCUAACACUUGUGAACUUCAACACCAAGAAUUGUUAUCUGAAGUAUCUUAUCAACAUGACAAAUCUUAGAGAGUUGGGGAUAAAUUUACCCUUCAAUUUUGAAAAUUUCAAUGAGAAGGAGUUGGGCGAGAAUCCAUUCAUAAUCGGAAGCAAAUAUCUUCAUUCCUUGUCUAUUAUUACCCGUAGGCUAAAGAUAUCAAUAGAUCCAAGACAUUUGGCCCACCUCCUUUCAACUUGUACAAGUAUUUGCAAGUUGAGUAUAGCAGCAGAGAUAAGUAAGUUACCAGAGUAUCACUACUUCUCUUCACAUCUCACUUACAUACGGUUGAGAUGGUGCAAGUUUGAGGAAGAUCCAAUGCCAACACUAGAGAAGCUGCCUAACUUAAGGAUUCUUGAAUUCGAAAGAUCUUUCGAAGGAAAGGAAAUGGUUUGCUCUGCUCAGGGUUUUCCUAAACUUGAGUCUCUAAUCCUUGCGGAGGUCGACAAUUUGGAGGAGUGGGAGGUGGAUGACGGAGCCAUGCCUUCUCUUCAGCGAUUGAAGAUUCGGGAAUGCUUAAACUUGAAGAUGCUUCCAGAGGGAUUGAGGUUCAUUACAACCCUCAAAGAACUGAAGAUUAAUGAAUCAAUGCCAAAGGCAUUCAAAGAUAGAUUGGAGGAAGGAGGAGAAGAUUUCUACAAAGUCAAACAUGUUCCUAAUAUCAUAUUCCAUGCCUGUUACCUAUAUUGAAUGAUAAUUGAAAGGUAAUUUCAUAACCUCUAGAUUAGGAAAUGAUUCCUACUUUCUUUGCUUCUUAUAUAUCUUUCAUUUUUCUCACUCAAUUUGUCAACACACCAAUGAAUAAUUACAUUUAUUAAAAGUCAAAGGAAGUCAGACAUUGAUCUUUUUAGUUUUACUUUUCAGGUAAAGACGCCAUUUUUUCACCAGCUACUGCUAUUCACGGGAUCAAAUCUAGAUUUAAAACUCCUAUUAUAAGUGGCGUGUGAAAGUGUGUUAUAUGGUGAGAUUUGGAAUUAUCUUCUCUCUUGUAUAUAUCUAUGGAUGUUGAUUGUUUGUUGUUUUCUUCAAAUUACAAUAAAACGGUUGCAAGAUAUGGCAUUGGAAGAAUGGGAGGUGUCUGGAUCAGCAAGGUACGAAACCCCUUCUCCAUUUCAAUUUCCUUCAAUCUAAUUUAAUUACACAUUCAUUUUUGUCUUUUAAAACAUAAAAUUGCAGAUAAGGAGACGUCACUAACCUUUGUUCCCACAUAGCUUUGGUUUGCGGUCACCGUUCCUAUAUUUAUUUGUUAGCUUUGCUUUCUCUUUGUUUUUUUUUCCCUACUUAAGUCUGCUCGAGUCUUUUUCUUCUUUUAUAUGUACUUAAUGUAAUAGUAGAAGCCAAGAUAGGAUCAUUCUUUUCUAUUGUAAAAUUCAUCACUUCGUUGUCUAUGUUCAUUUCUACUCUUCAGUUUACUUAAAUAUAAUUGUUUGACAUAUAUUUGAAUAUGGAGAAUAUAAUCUUUUUAAUAUAUACAUAUUUUAGAAAAAACUGAAUAUAUGCAUGUUGGACACAUUUCCCGUUUCAACAUAUUUCCUUAUUUACAAUUAUAAAACAAACCGUUUAAGAGUAUACAAACUACUUAUACAAAAUUCUUUUAAAUUAAAGAUGAAAUUAUAUAUAAAUUACAAAUGAAAUUAAUUAUAUAUACAAAUUUAUAAGUGAAAAAUAUACAUAAUUAUAUUCAUAAAAAAAUACAAACAAGGUUAUAAAGUAAUUCAUAGGAAUAUAGCUUUCUUGUUUCUAUUCUCAUUCGAUUAUGAAUAUACCUUUCUUGUUAGUAUUCUCAUUCUAUUUUGAACAUACCUUUCUUGCUUGUUUUCUCAUUCUAUUAUGAAUAUACCUUUCUUGUUUGUAGUCUCAUUCUAUUGAUGAUUAAUUCAUGUUGCUUUAUAAUUUUUUUAUAAAUUUAAUAGAACUAUUACUACUAAAAGUAUAAAAGGGCAAUGAUUUGCCAUUGUUUUUAUAAUUUUAAGUACUGCUUCUUGCAAUUGUUUUCCCAGCAAGAUUGCGGCACUCACAUCUUGAAAUCCAAAUUCAAGAUUUUAAAGAAUUUUCUGAGCUCGAUCACUGUUAUGGCUUGGUCUGCUGUGACAUCUGCAGUGACAACAAUUGGCAACCUGCUAACUCAGGAAGCCAUAUACCUAUGGGGCGUGGAGGAGCAAGUUGAUCGUCUGCAAACAGAGCUCAAAUGGAUGCAAAGAUUCUUAAUGGAGGCAGAGACAAAACAAUCAAAGGAUGAGAUGAUUGGUCUUUGGGUUGCUGAAAUCAGAGAGCUUGCUUAUGAUACCGAGGAUGUUGUCGAGGAAUUUGCUCUCAAGAUUGGAUCCAAAAACAAAGGAGGUCUUGCCAGUUGUAUUAAAUGAUCAGCCUGCUGUUUGAAAGAGGGAUGGGCGCUCCACAAAACCAGGUCAAAAAUCGAGAAAAUCAAAGAAAGAAUCAACGACGUGGUCCGAAAACUACAGGCCUACGGAGUAAAGGACAGAGAAGAAUCAAGUUCUUCAACUGAAAUACGAGAAUUAAGGCGGCCUUAUCCACAUAUUAUGGAUGAUAAUAUUGUUGGACUAGUUGAUGAUACUGAGGGAUUGGUCAAAGUUCUUACGAAGGAAAGUGGAUGCAAGGUUGUUACAAUAUGCGGCAUGGGUGGUCUGGGAAAGACCACUCUCGCCAAGAAAAUAUAUCGCCAUCGUCAGGUUAUUGAUUAUUUCGAUCACUUGGCUUUUGUAUAUGUUUCUCAACAAUUCCAGAAAAGAAAUGUUUGGGAAGACAUUCUAUCUAGUUUCAAAACUUUAGAUAAAGAGGACAGGAAGAAAAGAGAUGAAGAAUUAGCAGAGAAGUUGUGUAACAUUUUGGAGGUUAAAAAGUGUUUGGUGAUACUUGAUGAUAUUUGGACCAGUGAAGCUUGGAAUUGUCUACAACCUGCCUUUCCAGUUGAAACGGGCAGUCAUAGCAAUAGCAAGGUAUUGCUCACCUCUAGAAACAGGUGGAUAGUUCCAUAUGCUGACAAAAGAGGUAAAAUUUUCUUGAUUAGGUAAAAUUGAAUACUCUUAUUCCUUUUAUGGAAAAUAACUAUGUAUAUUAUUUCAGAAUUGAAGCGCCUAAACGGUGAAGAAAGUUGGGAAUUAUUUCAAAAGAUUGUAUUUCCUCAAACAGGUAAAUAUAGAUAUAGCAAAAUUCUUGUUAUAUGCUAAAUUUAUUUUUCAUUUUUAAUUUUUUUUUGACAAUAAUUAAAAUCAAAAAUAUAUAAAAUCUAUUUUAUUUAAAAAUUUCAAAACCUUAAUAUGAAAUAAAUAAAAGAAAUCAAGGCUUUGGAGUUUAUCAAUUAAUGGUACAUGCACGUAAAUAUAAUUAAUAGGUAAAUUUAUUAUCUUUUAUAUUGUAAUUUUUUAAUAACUUCGCUAUUACUUACUGGGAAUACAUUAUAUUAGGGUUAUCUUAAAAAAUAUAAUUUUUAGGCACAAAUAAAAUAGUGUUAUAUCGCUAAAUUUUUAAGAUAAUUAAGAAUUAUUUUACACUCAUUUAUAUUUAAUAAUUUCUCCAACUUAAUUUAACUUUAAGGGUAAACUACCAAAAUAGUCACUUUUGUUUGGCUCAGGUUACAUUUUAGUCACUUAUGUUUGAAAUGUUACGUUUUAGUCACUUAUGUUAUCGCAUUGUGACAUUUUAGUCAUUGAGCCGUUAUUUUCUAUUAACGGUGUAACAGUGAGCUGAUGUGGCACUUUAAAUCAUCAUUUCAAACAAAACUUCUAGGUUAAUUUAUACAAUCGAUCCCCAUAUUUUUUUGUUUGGAGCAAUUUAAUUUUUUUCUUUUAUUUUUUUUAACUUUCUUUCUUUUCCAUUCUAUUAUGCUUCUCCAUUUGUUUUCCUCCCUUUUCCAUUUUUGUCAACCCAAUUUUUCUAUGCUUUAUUUUUUUGAACAAUUUAAAAUUUUCGAGUGAGGCGAGCUUGUGGACUAGUUACAAAUGAAAAACAUAGAAAAACUAUGUUAAAAGAAAUGAAGAAUGGAGGAAAAUAGAGGGAGAAGCAGAAGAGAAUGGAAAAAAAAAAGUUAAAACAACAUAAAAGAAAUUUUUUAAAUUGUUGAAAAUGAAAAAAUAUAGGGACCAAUUGUAGAAUUUAACUUAAAAUUUUUGUUUGAAAUGAUGAUUUAAUGUGCCACAUCAACUUACCGUUACACUAUUGUCGCCAAUUAAUGACUUGUGACUAAAAUGUUACAACACGAUAACGUAAGUGACUAAAACGUAACAUUUCAAACAUAAGUGACUAAUGUACAGCCCAAUUAUUGCCCGGGCCCAAUUAACAGAGCCCAAGCGGCCCAAUAAGCCCAACAGGCCCAGAACCCCGUCAAGGGUUUCAGAAAACGGAAACCCUAGCCAAGCCUAGCGCCGCGCCCAUCCCUCUGCCAUCAUCAUUCGUUUUGUCCCAUCGCCACCCACCGCUACUAGCUUCAUCAACGCCUGCAAAAAAUGAUAGAAAAAAAGCAAGAGCACGCAACAGAUAGUGCAAGACAGCAAAAUACAAUCAAAAUACAAUGUAAAAGGCUAUAAAAGCCAAACAAUAUCUCUGUACAAGGGGGACGGCAUUUUGAAUUAAAAAAGGAAAAACAGAUCAAAAAAGGUUGACUCCAGUUUAUUCUUCUCUGUUCUUGUUUCUUAUUUACUUUACUCUUUAUUUAUUGUUAAUUUUUUCUGCAAUCGAUCAAAAAGAAAAAGGAACUGAAAGGGAAAGGAGUAAAUACCUUACCGCUUCGACGGGCUGGUGUCGGAACCCCACCCUUGCCGUCGUCGGAGUCGAGCCAAAAGGGGCGUUUCAUCCCUUUUCCUUUUGAUCUCGCGGUUGAGAAGGCUUAGCCUUCGGGGACGCCGCAAAAGAGGGAGGCCUAGGGGCCGUUCUCGUGCAACCCCGGCCACUGGCCAUGGGGCGGCAUGGUGGCCUGAGCUUAAGGGCCGAGAAAGGCACAGAGAGGAGGGUUCGAGCUAUCUGCUUUUCUUUUUUGUGUUUCUUUUUUAUUUUUUCUUUUUUUUCUUUCUCGUUUAAAAAUGAAAGGGUGGUUACCAGAUUAGGGUUCUUUUUGGCCCUUUUGUGAUGUGUGAAACGACGCCGUUUGGAGUCUGAUCAGUGGCUCCAAAACGGCGCCGUAUUGAGCUUUGACCCGCGUGGUGACCCGACCCAGGGGAAGGAUCCACGUGUUUUCUUUAAAUGGGAUAUUUGUGCGCGCAGUCCCUCCGACUUUGAAGCGCGUUGCAAUUUGGUCCUAUUUCGCUAUUUCCUUUUAUUUUUUAAUUUAGCCCCAGAAUUUUAUUUUUGUUCUAAUUUGACCCUUUGCUGCGCAGUGUUUUGGGGUUUCGGGGUAUUUACCAUUUUGGUCCCCCCUUUUUCGCGCGCGUUACAUUUUGAUCCUUUAUUCUAUUUUAUUUUUUUAUUUCAGCCCUAAGAUUUCAUUUCUGUUUUGAAUUAGUCCUAUUAUUAUUAUUAUUAUUAUUACUAUUAUUAUUACCUAUUUAUUUAUACUAAUUUUAUUUAAAUUUCUGGUACGUAUAUAUAUUUUUAUAUAUUUUACAACUUAUGCACCUAUUUAUAUAUCUAUGUACAUAUUUUCAUUUUCAUAAAUACAUACAUGUUUAUAUAUAAUCUUUAUAGUCUAAAAUACAUCUUUUUUAUAUUUUUUGAAUCCGCAUAUACAUACACAUUUUUUAUAUAUUUUUAGCAUGUAUAUAAAUUAACGUAUUUAUUUGUAUACAUAUGUAUAUUUUCAUUAUUUUUAAAAAACUUUAAUUUGUACAUAUAUAUAUUUUUUUCUUUUAUUUUACAAUAUAUAUAUACACUUACUUUUUAUAUGUAUUUCUUUAUUUUCGUAUUCCAUAGUUUUAUACACCUAUAUACAUGUACAUAUUUUUAUAUAUAUGCAUAUCUAUUUAUAUAUAUAUCAAAAUAUACUUUAUAUAUUUUGUUAAUUCAUGUAUACACAUAUUUUAGAUCAUGUCUAUAUAUAUCUUUUUAUACUUAAUUGUAUUUGCUAUUUAUUUAUUUCAUUUUUGUUAUUAUUUUGAAUGAAUGUUUUAGUUUUAUUCGUUUUUUAUAUUUUGUUAUUUUAUAUGUUGUAAGUUUGAUCGUUUAUAUUGAUUGCUAUUGCUUGCAUCGUUUUUAUAUUUUCAUAUUCAUUAUGAUUUUGCCAUGCAUAAAAAAUGUAAUUUGCUUUCACUAUGAUUUUGUGUUCUAUUCGAUAUAUAACAAAAUUUAUUUAUUUUAAUAAAUAGCACUCCGUGUAUUAGAUUCGAGAUGAUCGUACCCUAACUUACUGGGUUUCGAUUUUCACGAUAAAUCUAAAUACACGAAUCUUUUUAAACUCAUUUUUUUAAAAAAUGAUCUCGGGGUUAAAAAAAAUCGCGUCCUAACUUACUGGUCAUGAUCUCAUUUUAAAUCCGAGAUGGCUAAAAUAUCUUUUAAAUAAGCUCCUUUUUAUUCAUGUCAAGAAUUUGAGACAUUGUAUUCUAACUUACUGGAUAUGAUUCUCUUUCUCGAUUAACGUGAAAUAUACUUCUUUUUCCAAAAAUUUUCAUUUUAAUACAAGGAUCGUAUUUUUAAUUCUCUCAAGUUCUCAAUUUUCAAUAUCAAGACGUUAGAUAAUUAACUAGGUACCAAUUUCUGGGCGUUACGAGGGUGCUAACCCUUUCUCGUACGUAACCGACUCCCGAACCCGUUUUCUAGAUUCUGUAGACCAAAAUCGUUGUUUUAAUAAAAUCAAAUUAUUUAUUAAAAACAACAUCUUUCCAAGGUGACCCAAUCACACCUCAAAAAGGAUUGGUGGCGACUCCCUUUUUCGUUUUCAAAACCCAAGUCGACCCCGUUUUCAUCAAAAAAAAUGGUGUCAACAGCUUGGCGACUCCACUGGGGAACAUAAAUAAGAGAGUCAAGCCACGAGUUGAUUCUCUCUUGUCUUUUUGUCGAAAGUUGAAAAUUUGAUUUAAAUAUACGAUCCUCUCAUUACAUUUUAUUUUGAGUUAUAGUUUUUAUCAUGUUUUGUAUUUUAAAUUUUUUAUAUACCUCUGCACAUUGCAUUGCAUGAUCGUUGGUCACACCUCUUAAGUGGGAGUGAUAAGCUACGCCUUCGUGAGGUUUUCACCUCCGCAUGGGAUAGUGAAUCGCUUCCGGGAUACAUCCGUACCUAUGUCUUCGUGAGAUUUUCAUCUCUGCAUGGCCAUAGGGAAAUGCAUUCCCCUGAACUGAACUCAGUCCGUAUGAGCCUAUAAUGGGUGAGGAUUGAGGAAUCUGCUGGUUCAGGUUCCCUACUUAGAACCAAACCACAUGUAAUGAGCCAUAAGAACCGACCUAGGUAGAGCUACGCCAAACCUUAGUGCUUACCUAAAUGGAUGCUAUGUUUACCGUCAUUUACGUUAAAUCUUGUUCUGCGUAAUACUAUUUUUGCUUUAUUUGUGAUUGUAUGGCAUUGUCAUUCUAAAAGAGGUGUCGAUUCAUGUUCAGUGUCUAAAACGAAAGCUUAUCAUGGAAAAGGGAUUUCUUGAUAAAGUAGAAGAUAAUGCGACUGUGCGAGUAUGGGCUGAGACGACACAACGGGAUAAAGGCGAUAGUCUUACCGAAGGGCACGUGUCAGAAUUGUGGGAUGUCAAGACCAAGCAGCUGUUCUAUUAUAACUACGGUGACCUACCUUAUCUGCUCAGUGUCAAAGUGGACAAGUAUUUAUUCCGAGCCCUUGCUCAGUUUUGGAAUCCUGCCUACAGUUGUUUCACUUUUGGGAAAGUAGAUUUGACGCCUACUGUGGAGGAAUAUACGACCUUGCUUCGGUGCCCAAAGUUUCAAGUCGACAGGGUUUAUUCUAGAUCUGCUUGUGUCCCUCCGUUGUUAAGGAAAUUAAUGAACAUUACUGGGAUGAGCGAGCAGUGGGUCGCUGCCCGAAUCCAACAGAAGGGCGACAGUAAAUCUGUCCCUUGGAAAAGCUUACGAGAUUUGGUACUUAUACAUCCUGACGUAAAGAAAAGGGUCGAUGUCUUCGCUUUAGGUAUCUACGGGCUAGCGGUCUUCCCCAAAGCUUUAGGGCACAUAGACGAGGCUGUAUCUGAUUUGUUUGAUCGGCUUAGUAAAAGGGGUUACACCGGUUCCGGCAAUACUGGCUGAAACUUUCAGAUCUCUGAGUGCAUGUCGAAAAACAGGUGAGGGAAGGUUUAUUGGAUGUGCACAACUUUUAUUGGCAUGGUUUCAUAGCCAUUUCUGGAAAAUGGAAAAGGUCUCUUAUCGAGUAUUCUCUAACAGCUACUCCCCUCUAGAGGAAUUGGUGGCCACGCCAAGACGGGAUGAUAUUUCAGAAGAAAUAUGGAUGGAGAUACUCCAGAAUCUCCAGGAUGAAUAUAUUAAAUGGAGGGCUCCUUGGUUAAUUCCUGAUGAGAUAUUGUACCGAUGUAGAGAUUUCGACUAGGUUCCUCUGCUCGGGAUAUGGGGAGCUAUCGGAUAUGCUCCCCUACUCAUAUCCAGACAGUAUAGAUCACGACAAUUCGUACCAGUAACGCAGGGGUUGGCCUAUUGUGAUUUUUCCUAUAGGGAGGACAAUUAUAAGAAAAAGGUUCAAGAAGUGUCUAAUGCCUGGAACCAAACUCGCCGAAUGAAGAUUUUAGCUGUGGGUCCGACAAUGACCCCCGAGUAUAGCCAGUGGCGUGAUCAAAGGGUCAACGAUAAUAUCCCGGCGUCAAAUCCAAAAACUACUCGAUCUUUAGAGGAACACCUACAAGUAUUGCCCUCUGAGAUAGAAAUUAUCAAGCAAGAAUUUGAAAAGAGGAGUUUGGAGAUAGGGAAGAAAGUAGAGCAGUUAGAGGAAGAGAAAAUGCAGUUAGGACUGGAUUUGGACAUUUAAAGAUUAGAGGCCGACAAAUUAAGAAAAGGAAAGAACAAGGCAGAAGAAGAUUUAGACAGCCUGAAGAUGGAUUACAAGAAGUUGCGUAGGUCGAUAAGAACUGCUGGCUUGGGUAAAACGCCAGAACAAUGGCGACAGGAAAUUUAGGAGGAAAAAAUGAAAGCUAAUUAGUGGGAAAAGAAAUUUCAGGAUACUCAAACUCGAGAAGUUACUUUGGGAGAGAGUCUACUAGCCUGCCAGAACGAGAAGACGAAGUUGAAUGCCCGAGUAACUGAACUGGAAAGGCUACUUCACCAAUACCGUAGUUGUAAUUCUGCGGUUGAAUUAAAGGCAAGCUUGGACAAAAUUGAAGAACUAAAGGGACAAGUAGGAGAGCUCGAGGACGCAUUGUAAAACAGCGAAUUCCGAAUAGAGCUUCUGGAAAGAAGUAGUGAGUAGUGGCAAGGGCAAUUCCAGCGGUCUCAAGAUCAGAUUAGAGAUAGAGAUUAUGUUAUGGGUGAGGCAGUGGUUCAAGUACGCGAGGUAGCUGAUUACCUGCAAACCCUAGCGGUUCAAGCUGAUCUAUUAAGUUUGAAGUAUGAGUCAGAAUCGGACCGGGGCCGAGAAUUAGCUCGGCUUCUUAAAAGGUUAAGGCUUUGGGUAUAAGGGCAAAGCCGUAUGUGUAAUCUAUUUUAUGUAAAGAAAUUUCUUCUCUAGUAAAGUUUUCUAAUGAAGUUGAAUUAGAAUCAGUGCCUCUUUUUGCAUUCAUGCAUCUACAUAUCAUCAUAUGCAUCAAGUUUUAAAAAUGGAGCCUAAUUAAUUUAAAAUUAUGACAGAACUACCCUGGAAACUAACAAAAAUUCACCAACCGUUUAUCACUACGGUACCCGUCGCAAAACAAAAGCCAUGGAUCAAAGACUCGAAAGACUCGAACAACUCCAAAAGGAGAUGCAAGAACAAAUGCAAGAGCGGUUAGAGAAGAUUCAACAAGAUAUGAAGAACGAAAUGAUAGAGUCUCAAAAAAGCAUGAUAGCUGAAUUAACGCAGUUGUUCAAAGGGGGAAGCGACAAAGGAAAAGACCCCGUGGUUAAUACAGAAGAAGAAAAUAAUGAGAGCCCUCUCUAUCCCCCAGGUUUCACUCCUCCUCAUGCGCAAACCCAAGCUGAGGUGCAACCACGCAGAUCAUCUGUUACUAUCAGGCCUCAGCAGUUUCAAACUGGUGCCUCAAUGCCAGUAAAUUUCCAAACUGGAAUAGGUUCUCAUCUCGGAGAAGCCCCUACUAAUCCCAUAGUACCCGAUUUUGACGAAAUGAUGGGAAAAGAGAAAACAAAGGAAGAACUGCCGAGUCAAUUGGAGGAAAGAUGUAAAUGGCUCGAAGAGAAAUUCAAAGCCAUGAAAAGUAGCGAGAAUUAUCAUGGGAUGGACGCUAAAGAUCUAAGCUUGGUACCAGAUUUGGUCCUUCCUCCCAAAUUUAAGAUGCAGGAGUUUGAAAAAUAUGACGGGACAAGUUGUCCCGAAGCUCAUAUCACUAUGUUUUACCGAAGGAUGACCGGGUACAUCAACAAUGAACAACUGUUGGUUCACUGUUUUCAGGACAGUUUGAUCAGGUCAGCGGCUAGAUGGUACAAUCAAUUGAGUCGAACCGAAAUCCACUCCUGGAAAGAUUUGGCGCAGGCCUUUAUAAAGCAGUACAGACAUGUGAUGGAUAUAGCACCCGAUCGAAUUAUAUUGCAAAACAUGGAAAAGAAAACUAAUGAGAGCUUUCGCCAGUAUGCUCGGAGAUAGAGGGAAGUAGCAGCACAAGUUCAACCACCACUUUUAGAGAAUGAGAUAACCAUGAUUUUUAUCAAUACCUUGAAAGCUCCAUUUCUCAAUCACAUGUUGGACAGUGCCACUAAAAGCUUGUCAGACAUAGUGAUGUCUGGAGAAAUGAUAGAGAACGCCAUAAGAUGUGGCAAGAUAGAAGCAGGAGAAAGUACUAAAAGGUCGGCUCCAAGGAAGAAGGAGCACGAGAUAAAUAAUACAAGCAUGUUUAACAAGGACCAUUCUAAAACAAUCAUGGUCGGACAAGCCAGAGCAGUAACCGCUAAUCGACAAGGUUCUUCGAAACAGGAAUCUAAUCCAAGGCCAAAUGUAGAGAGACUUCAAUUCACACCCAUCCUAGUGACGUAUAGGGAAUUGUACCAGAACUUAUUCGAUGCACAUGUGGUAUCUCCAUAUUACCUGAAACCAAUGCAACCCCCAUACCCUAAGUGGUAUGACGCAAACGCCCAAUGCGAGUAUCACGCGGGGACCAAGGGGCAUUCGAUUGAAAACUGCACUGCAUUCAAGAAGUUAGUUGAAAAACUUAUCAAUUUGGGGAUCGUAAAGAUUGGUGACUCAUCAGGACCAAAUGUAGUAGAGAAUUCGUUGCCCAAUCAUGACAAUAAAGGGGUAAACGCGAUAAUUGAGAACGGAAGAAAGAGAGUCAAAGCCAACGUAGCCGAGAUAAGGACCCUCUUGAAUGGGUUUGGAAACAAAUGGUGAAAAGAGGUCUCAUUAGGCAAAAUUCAAUAAAAAGGCCUGAAGGAGCAAGGAAGUUUUGUGAGUUCCACGCAGAAGAAGGCCAUGACAUCCAAAAGUGUACCGAGUUCAGAACCAUGGUGCAAAGCUUAAUGGAUAGCAAAGAGUUAGAGUUUUAUGAAGAGAUUAAUGAACUAGGAGAAGGAGAGGUCUAUGCUACAGAAGAAGGAUCUACGGGGAAAGCCCAAAAGGCUAAUUACCCGGUGGUAAUUAUUUCAAAACCAAUGAGCAGAGAAUCUGGAAUACAAAUAGCACCAAAGGUCAUAAUCCAAAAACCUGUAUCCUUUCCCUACAAGGAUAGCAAAAAGGUUCCUUAGAAUUACAAUUGCAAUGUAACAAUCCCAGGAGAAGAGAGCUUGGUAAAUGCUUCAGGAGAGGAUGAAGGAUUCUAUACACGAAGUGGAAAACGCUAUGAUCCGACAAACGCAAGAGUGGAGUCUGGAAAAGGAAAAGCCUUAGCGGUUGAAUUGGGAAAAACAAAGACAGACAAAAUUGAGCCGCGUAUCAAUCAGCCGGUAACUGAAAAUGAGGCUAAUGAAUUUCUAAAAUUCUUAAAAUAUAGCGAGUACAGCGUGGUAGAGCAAUUACAUAAGCAACUGGCUCGUAUCUCGAUGCUUGAAUUAUUUCUAAGUUCAGAGAUACAUCGUAAUGCGCUGAUUAAGGUGCUAAAUGAAACUUACGUCGCUGAUGAUAUCUCAGUGAAUAAGUUGGACCGUUUGGUUAAUAAUAUCAGUACCGACAAUUUCAUUUUCUUUAAUGAUGAUGAAAUACCGUCCGGGGGAAGAGGAGCCACCAAAGCCUUACAUAUUUCUACUUACUGUGGGAAAUAUAUGUUAUCAAGAGUGCUAAUUGAUAAUGGAUCAGCCUUGAAUGUUUUACCCCUAUCCACCUUAAAUAGGUUACCGGUGGACAGCUCUCACAUGAAAUCAUGCCAGAACAUAGUGAGAGCAUUUGAUGGUACCGAAAGAAAGGUGAUGGGAAGAAUAGAAGUACCUCUCUUGAUUGGCCCAAAUACGUACGAAGUGGAUUUCUUAGUGAUGGAUAUCAAGCCUUCGUAUAAUUGCUUGCUCGGGAGACCAUGGAUUCAUUCAGCAGGGGCGGUGCCUUCAUCAUUGCACCAGAAGUUGAAAUUAGUGACAGAAGGCCGGUUAAUUAUGGUUGACGCUGAGGAAGACAUCAUUGCAUCGGUAACCAGUGACGCACCAUAUUUGGGAGUGGAUGAUGAUGCGGUCAAAUGUUCUUUUCGAUCCUUAGAGUUCGUAAAUGUAACUUUUGUCACUGAGGGAAAGAAAAUCCCAAUGCCCAGCAUGUUUAGAGCCAUAAGGAUGGGAUUACAAAUGACAGUUGGGAAAGGAGCUGUGCCUGGAAGAGGACUGGGAAGAUGCCUUCAAGGAAGGAUAGAGGCACCAGUGGUGAAAGACAAACACGACCGUUUUGGUUUAGGAUUUAAACCAAAUGCCAAGCAGAGAAGAAAAGAGUUAGAGAAUAGGCAAGAUAGAAGGAAUGCGCGUUUGAACGGAAAAGAAGUUAAUUGGGAACCUAUGGCUUGCCCCCACAUAUCCAGGACAUUCAUAUCGGGAGGAACCAUGUAUUCUAGACUGAGGACUCCAAGAAAGAAGACCGCAGAGGAAAUGUUAGGAAACUUGAGCAUCAAUGCCAUAUUUGAAGAAGAAUCUGAAGAAUGAAGUACAUCAGGCAUCUAUCCUGUUGAACCUGGGAGUGUUUUAAACAAUUGGACUGCAAAAGAAAUGUCUGAAGUUUUUAGAGCUUUUCCAGAGUAAUAUUCAAAACAUAUUAAUUGUUCUAAGCAUUUGUGAACUGAAAUGGGCUUAUAUGUGGACAUUAUGAUUUCAAUGAAAUAUAUCUUCGCAUUUUGAGUAUAUAUUCUUUUAAAAUUCUUUUCAUUCUUUCAUACGAAUAGUCAUCUUGAAUGCUUUUAUUCGAAUCAUUCUUUUAUUCAUGGUCAUACUAAAUAAGAAUCCUUAAAUUCAUACAUUCCCUGUACAUUCUUUGAUACCUAUAACAGGUCCCAAGAUAUCAAUGAUAUGAGUGACUCUACUAUGGACUUAGAAAAUCCUUUUGAACGAGAUAUUUGUUUAGAGGAAUCUCAAAAUUUUGAAGCUAACACAGAUUGCAACCUAUCUUCGGACUUGUUGAGGAUGGUAGAGCAGGAAGAGAAACAGAUUCUACCUCACGAGGAGACGAUAGAGAUAGUGAUCCUGGAAGAGGGAAAUGUGGUAAAGAUUGGCACGUGCAUAGCUAAAAAAGUGAAACAAUACCUCGUUAAAUUGCUUCGAGAGUUCAAAGGUGUCUUCGUAUGGUCAUACCAAGAUAUGCCGGGGUUAAGUACUGACAUCGUAGUUCACCGACUUCCUAUAAAGGAAGAUUGCAAACCAGUUCAGCAAAAACUCCGAAGAAUGAGGCCUGAUGUUGUGUUAAAAAUAAAAGAGGAGGUGCAAAAACAAUUCGACGCUAGAUUCCUGCAGGUGGUCAAAUACUCCGAGUGGGUAGCCAAUAUCGUUCCUGUCCCUAAAAAAGAUGGGAAGGUAUGAAUGUGUGUAGAUUAUAGAGAUUUAAAUAAGGCUAGCCCCAAAGAUAACUUUCCCUUGCCGCACAUCGACGCCUUGGUGGACAACACAACAGGACAUUCGUUGUUUUCUUUCAUGGAUGGCUUCUCUGGAUAUAACCAAAUUAAGAUGCACCCUGAGGAUAUGAAGAAAACUACAUUCAUAACCCUAUGGGGAACCUUUUGUUAUAAGGUGAUGCCAUUUGAGUUGAAAAAUGCAGGGGCAACGUAUCAGAAGGCCAUGGUAACACUGUUCCAUGAUAUGAUGCAUAAGGAGUUAGAGGUCUAUGUUGAUGACAUGAUUGCAAAAUCUAAAACAGAAGAGGAACAUGUGCAGGUCCUUAAGAAAUUAUUUAUGAGGUUGAGAAAAUUUCAGCUAAAGCUAAAUCUAGCAAAAUGCACAUUUGGGGUCAGAUCAAGAAAAUUGCUUGGGUUCGUGGUCAGUGCGAGAGGAAUUGAGAUUGAUCCUGACAAAGUAAGAGCAAUACAAGAAUUAACCCCGCCGCGUACUCAAAAGGAGGUUCGAGGUUUUCUAAGAAGGCUGAACUAUAUUGCUCGGUUCAUCUCACACCUAACUGAGAAAUGCGACCCUAUAUUUCGCCUCCUCAAGAAACAUAAUCCUGGUGUAUGGGAUGAGAAAUGUCAAAAAACUUUUGAAAAAGUCAAACAUUACUUAUCAAACGCCCCAGUGCUGAUGCCACCCUGCCCAGACAAACCGCUCAUACUGUAUUUGGCAGUAUUUGAAAAUUCCAUGGGGUGCAUGCUUGGUCAACAUGAUGAAUCAGGACGAAAGGAAAGAGCAAUCUACUAUCUCAGUAAGAAGUUCACUGAAUGUGAAACAAGAUAUUCGCCAAUCAAGAAAUUAUCUUGUGCCCUAAUCUGGACAACUCGGAGACUGAGACAGUACAUGUUGUACCAUACGACCUGGUUAAUCUCCAAAUUAGACCCUCUGAAAUACUUAAUGGAGUCAACCGCUCUGAAUGGAAGAAUGGCCCGAUGGCAAAUUCUUCUAUCUGAAUUUGACAUAGUCUAUGUAAACCAGAAGGCGGUCAAAGGGAGUGCAAUAGCGGAAUUCCUAGCAAGUAGGGCUCUGGAUGAUUAUGAGCCAUUGAACUUCGAUUUCCCAAAUGAAGAUUUGAUGUAUAUCGCAACUGUAGAGAAAGAUUUCCAAGAAGGUGGUCCUUGGAAGUUGAUUUUUGACGGAGCUUCAAAUGCUAUAGGCAACAGAAUUGGGGCAGUACUCGUGUCUCCUGGUGGAAAUUAUUAUCCUUUCACUAGCAAAUUGGACUUUGACUGCACAAAUAAUAUGGCUGAGUAUGAAACUUGCAUUAUGGGCAUCCGGGCAGCCAUAGAGCGGAAAAUUAAUGUGCUAGAGGUAUACAGGGACUCUGCAUUAGUAAUUUAUCAGCUCAAAGGGGAAUGGGAAACAAGAGACCCGAAGUUGGUCCGCUAUCGAAAAUUGGUUAUGGAAUUGAUUGAGGAAUUUGAUAGUGUCACCUUUAGUUACCUCCCGCGAGAUGAAAACCAGAUGGCAGAUGCUUUCGCCACUUUAGCCUCCAUGUUUAAAGUGAACAAAUUAGAAGAUAUGAAGCCUAUCCAGAUCAGCAUCUAUGAGGCUCCAGUUGCAACAUUGACAAUGAAGAGGGAAAGGAUGAUCACCCUUGGUACCAUGACAUAUUGCGAUAUGUGAAGAGUCGUGAGUACCCUGACCAUGCGACAGAAAAUGAUAAGAAGACAUUAAGGAGAUUAGCCAUUGAUUAUGCCCUAGAUGGGGAAAUUUUGUAUAAAAAGGGAAAAGAUCAAGUAUUGUUGAGGUGUGUGGAUGCUGUCGAGGCAAAAGAAAUUUUGGAAGAAGUGCAUGAAGGUAUCUGCGGAACGCAUGCCAACGACUUCACGAUGGCCAGACAAAUUAUGAGAUUUGGGUACUAUUGGUCCACCAUGGAAGGGGAUUGCAUUAAUUAUGCCAAAAGGUGCCAUAAAUGUCAAAUUUAUAGUGACAAAAUGUACGCACCACCUUCACCCCUUCAUGUUAUGGUUUCUCCAUAGCCUUUCUCCAUGUGGGGAAUGGACGUUAUCGGGCCAAUAUCUCCAAAAGCUUCUAAUGGACAUCGUUUUAUCUUUGUGGUUAUUGAUUACUUCACUAAAUGGGUGGAGGCUGCUUCAUAUGCAAAUGUCACGAAGUCGGCAGUUAGCAAGUUUCUGAAAAAUGAGAUCAUAUGUCGAUAUGGGAUGCCUAAAAGGAUCAUAUCCGAUAAUGCGAUGAACUUAAACAACAACUUAAUAGCGGAAGUUUGUAGUCAGUUCAAGAUCAGACACCACAAUUCGUCACCGUACCGUCUAAAAAUGAAUGGUACCGUGGAAGCAGCUAACAAAAACAUCAAGAAAAUUAUAGGAAAAAUGACUGAAACCUACAAAGACUGGCACGAGAAAUUACCUUUUGCUCUCCUGGCAUAUCGUACUUCUGUUAGGACCUCUAUUGGGGCAACACCGUUUUCUUUAGUCUAUGGGAUGAAAGCAGUUUUACCCAUAGAAGUUGAAAUUCCUUCCCUCCGAGUAUUAGCUGAACUAAAGUUGGAUGAGGCUGAAUGGAUUCAAUCUCGAUAUGACCAGCUAAACUUGGUAGAAGAAAAGAGGUUAAAAGCUAUUCGUCAUGGUCAGAUGUAUCAGAAACGAAUGAUGCGAGCCUAUAACAAAAAAGUUCGUCCCAGAGAAUUUUACAAGGGGGACCUGGUUUUGAAAAAGAUUCUUCCUCUACAAAAAGAUUUUAGAGGAAAAUGGAUGCCAAAUUGGGAAGGUCCUUAUGUGGUGAAAAAGGCCUUUUCAGGAGGAGCUUUAAUCCUGAGCGAGAUGGAUGGUAAAAGCCUACCAAAUCCUGUAAAUUCAGACUCAGUCAAGAAAUAUUUCACUUGAAAAAAGGGGCAUUCAAAAAAAAAGGAGAGCCCAAGGUGAAAACCCGCAAAGGGCGCCUUGAGACCAAAGGGGAUUUGAGUUGAAAACCUGAAAAAGGCGGCUCAAAUUUUGAAGAAACGUAAGGUGAACGGAACAGCUCAAAUUUUGAUCAGGAUCUGAGGCAUGUGGUGGUCUUACUAUACCUGAAUCACAAGAAGGAAUAGGUGACAUCUUGGGGUAUCGACAGAAUACUGUAGAUUCCCUAAACACAUAUUAAAUGGUCUUUAGAAAACUUAUGCAGAGAAGCUCGUACUGCGAUAUCUGGGGCACCUGUUGUCAUCUUAUAUUUUGAAUCUUGGAAAAAUUUAUUGUCUUGAUUAAUGUAUUCAUUUCAAGCUUUGCUCCCCAAUAAAAUUUCAUUUUGUCUAUUGUCUUAUUUCAUUUUUAUCUUAGCAAAAUUUGCUAUCUUGAUUAACUAAUUCAUUUUAAGAUUUGUUCUCAAUAACAUUUGUUUGUUCGUCGUGAUAAUAUUUUUCGAAAAAACAUUUAGAAUAACUAUUAAUGAACUGAAUGUUCAAGCAGAUGGAGUUUUGCAUAUUACUCUAGAAAUUUCUAAAUAAUGAAGGAACCUGAAACAGGACUGUUGUUUAGAGCACACCAAAUUCAAAGUGUCUAAAAGGGAAAAGUCCAAGACAGGACUAUCCUUUCAAAUUUUGUUAUCCAAACAUUGAACAAAAUGACAAGAUGUCGUGUUGGUGGCAAAGCUUCAAUGAACAAACAAGCGAUGUUCACCAAGCAAUAAGAAAAGAUCUUCUGGGAGAAGAAAACUCUUUAUUGAGCAUAAACAUUUGGUAUAACACCUUGGGAACGAAGUAAAGGACCAAAGAGCUUCACAUUCUGUAUCAUUGAAUUGUGAUAGCAGAGGAUCGAGAAAAGGCCAGAUCUUUCUACCUUUGGGUUACAGCGGGAGAAAAAUGGUUUUUGCAUCCAGUGGAUUGAACUUGGAGGUUAACAGUGGGGGCAAUCUGAUUAAGUGUUUCUUUGGAUUUGCCAGUCAAGCAAGAAGGCGUUGUAGCACGUCAGCGAUAAACUUUAAUAAGCUUUUGCGUGAUGAUAACCUAAGCAUUAAGGAAUCACUUUCAUGACAUUCGACAUUCAUUCAAAUGUCAUUCAUACACGUCUAGUUAGGAGCAUUUGAUUCAUUCUGGUCAUCCUAAUCACUAGGCACAGAUAGGUUCAUAAAAUAGAAUAUACAGGUCAUGUUCCUCAGAGAACAGAUCAAUAAAGAUAGUAGAUCUUGCCUUCCUGCACUGACAGCGAAGCAGAUCGAAGAAACCAUAGUUUGCAAUUUAAAAGAUCGAAGCCACAGCGGCGAAUCUUACUUCUGGCGAUGCAGCGGAGCAGAUUGAAGCUACAACAGCGAAUCUCACUUCCCCGACAUUGCAAUUUAAAGGAUCGAAGCCACAGCAGCGAAUCUUACUUCUGGCGAUGCAGCAGAGCAGAUUGAAGCUACAACAGCGAAUCUCACUUCCCCGACAUUGCAAUUUAAAAAAUCGAAGCCACAACGGUGAAUCUUACUUCUGGCGAUGCGGCGGAGCAGAUUGAAGCUACAACAGCGAAUCUCACUUCCCCUACAUUGAAAUUUAAAAAAUCGAAGCCACAACGGUGAAUCUUACUUCUGGCGAUGCAGUGGAACAGAUUGAAGCUACAACGGCGAAUCUCACUUCCCCGACAUUGCAAUUUAAAAGAUCGAAGCCACAACGGCGAAUCUUACUUCCAGGCGACGCAGCGGAAUAGAUUGAAGCCGCAAUGGCGAAUCUUUUCCUCGACAAGACUGGGCAAAAAUUGGUCUUUCUUAGUCUUUUCUCUGUUAUCGUUACACGACAACGAGCAAAGAGGGGCAGCUGUACAGCCCAAUUAUUGCCCGAGCCCAAUUAACAGAGCCCAAGCGGCCCAAUAAGCCCAACAGGCCCAGAACCCCGUCAAGGGUUUCAGAAAACGGAAACCCUAGCCAAGCCUAGCGCCGCGCCCAUCCCUCUGCCAUCAUCAUUCGUUUUGUCCCAUCGCCACCCGCCGCUACUAGCUUCAUCAACGCCUGCAAAAAAUGAUAGAAAAAAAGCAAGAGCACGCAACAGAUAGUGCAAGACAACAAAAUACAAUCAAAAUACAAUGUAAAAGGCUAUAAAAGCCAAACAAUAUCUCUGUACAAGGGGGACGGCGUUUUGAAUUAAAAAAGGAAAAACAGAUCAAAAAAGGUUGACUCCAGUUUAUUCUUCUCUGUUCUUGUUUCUUAUUUACUUUACUCUUUAUUUAUUGUUAAUUUUUUUCUGCAAUCGAUCAAAAAGAAAAAGGAACUGAAAGGGAAAGGGAAAGGGAAAGGAGUAAAUACCUUACCGCUUCGACGGGCUGGUGUCGGAACCCCACCCUUGCCGUCGUCGGAGUCGAGCCAAAAGGGGCGUUUCAUCCCUUUUCCUUUUGAUCUCGCGGUUGAGAAAGCUUAGCCUUCGGGGACGCCGCAAAAGAGGGAGGCCUAGGGGCCGUUCUCGUACAACCCCGGCCACUGGCCAUGGGGCGGCAUGGUGGCCUGAGCUUAAGGGCCGAGAAAGGCACAGAGAGGAGGGUUCGAGCUCUCUGCUUUUCUUUUUUGUGUUUCUUUUUUAUUUUAUUUUCUUUUUUUCUUUCUCGUUUAAAAAUGAAAGGGUGGUUGCCAGAUUAGGGUUCUUUUUGGCCCUUUUGUGAUGUGUGAAACGACGCCGUUUGGAGUCUGAUUAGUGGCUCCAAAACUGCGCCGUAUUGAGCUCUAACCCGCGCGGUGACCCGACCCAGGGGAAGGAUCCGCGUGUUUUCUUUAAAUGGGAUAUUUGUGCGCGCAGUCCCUCCGACUUUGAAGCGCGUUGCAAUUUGGUCCUAUUUCGCUAUUUCCUUUUAUUUUUUAAUUUAGCCCCAGAAUUUUAUUUUUGUUCUAAUUUGACCCUUUGCUGCGCAGUGUUUUGGGGUUUCAGGGUAUUUACCAUUUUGGUCCCCCCUUUUUCGCGCGCGUUACAUUUUGAUCCUUUAUUCUAUUUUAUUUUUUAUUUCAGCCCUAAGAUUUCAUUUCUGUUUUGAAUUAGUCCUAUUAUUAUUAUUAUUAUUAUUAUUAUUACCUAUUUAUUUAUACUGAUUUUAUUUAAAUUUCUGGUACGUAUAUAUAUUUUUAUAUAUUUUACAACUUAUGCACCUAUUUAUAUAUCUAUGUACAUAUUUUCAUUUUCAUAAAUACAUACAUGUUUAUAUAUAAUCUUUAUAGUCUAAAAUACAUCUUUUUUAUAUUUUUUGAAUCCGCAUAUACAUACACAUUUUUUAUAUAUUUUUAGCAUGUAUAUAAAUUAACGUAUUUAUUUGUAUACAUAUGUAUAUUUUCAUUAUUUUUAAAAAACUUUAAUUUGUACAUAUAUAUUUUCUUUUAUUUCACAAUAUAUAUACACUUACUUUUUAUAUGUAUUUCUUUAUUUUCGUAUUCCAUAGUUUUAUACACCUAUAUACAUGUACAUAUUUUUAUAUAUAUGCAUAUUUAUUUAUAUAUAUAUAUAUCAAAAUAUACUUUAUAUAUUUUGUUAAUUCAUGUAUACACAUAUUUUAGAUCAUGUCUAUAUAUAUCUUUUUAUACUUAAUUGUAUUUUCUAUUUAUUUAUUUCAUUUUUGUUAUUAUUUUGAACGAAUGUUUUAGUUUUAUUCGUUUUUUAUAUUUUGUUAUUUUAUAUGUUGUAAGUUUGAUCGUUUAUAUUGAUUGCUAUUGCUUGCAUCGUUUUUAUAUUUUCAUAUUCAUUAUGAUUUUGACAUGCAUAAAAAAUGUAAUUUGCUUUCACUAUGAUUUUGUGUUCUAUUCGAUAUAUAACAAAAUUUAUUUAUUUUAAUAAAUAGCACUCCGUGUAUUAGAUUCGAGAUGAUCGUACCCUAACUUAUUGGGUUUCGAUUUUCACGAUAAAUCUAAAUACACGAAUCUUUUUAAACUCAUUUUUUAAAAAAUGAUCUCGGGAUUAAAAAAAAUCGCGUCCUAACUUACUGGUUGUGAUCUCAUUUUAAAUCCGAGAUGGCUAAAAUAUCUUUUAAAUAAGCUCCUUUUUAUUCAUGUCGAGAAUUUGAGACAUUGUAUUCUAACUUACUGGAUAUGAUUCUCUUUCUCGAUUAACGUGAAAUAUACUUCUUUUUCCAAAAAUUUUCAUUUUAAUACAAGGAUCGUAUUUUUAAUUCUUUCAAGUUCAUAAUUUUCAAUAUCAAGACGUUAGAUAAUUAACUAGGUACCAAUUUCUGGGCGUUACGAGGGUGCUAACCCUUCCUCGUACGUAACCGACUCCUGAACCCGUUUUCUAGAUUCUGUAGACCAAAAUCGUUGUUUUAAUAAAAUCAAAUUAUUUAUUAAAAACAACCUCUUUCCAAGGUGACCCAAUCACACCUCAAAAAGGAUUGGUGGCUACUCCCUUUUUCGUUUUCAAAACCCAAGUCGACCCCGUUUUCAUCAAAAAAAUGGUGUCAACAACUAAUACGUAACCUAAGCAAACAAAAGUGACUAUUUUGGUAGUUUACCCUUAACUUUAAUUAAAUUAUUUAAAAUAAAUAAUUUUUUAAAUUAUAAAUAAACAUCUUUUCUUCUUUUACAAAUUUUAAUCAUUUUGUUUUUUUCAUAAGUUAAUAUAUUUUUUUAUUUUUGUGCAACCAAUUUUUAAAAAAUAGUAAUUUUUGUGCAAUAUUUUUCAUGUCAUUGAUACAUAAUUUUGAUAAUUAUUUUAUCCUGAACCCAAAACCUCGAACCUUGAACUCGAAACCCUGAACCUAAAUCUUGAACCCCGAAUCUCUUAGUUUAAGGUUUGGAUUCGAGAUUUAAAGUUCAGAAUUCGAGGUUCAAGUUUAAAGUUCGAGGGUUCAGGAUUAUGGGUUACGAGUUUAGGAUUCAUGAUUCAAGGGUUUGGAGUUUUAUGUUUUGGAUCUAGGUUUUAGGAUUCAAGAUUCAAGGUUUAGGGUAAAAAAUUUACCAAAAUUAUGUGUCAAUGACAUAGAAAAAAUUGUUGAAAUGUUAUUAAAUAAUUAGAAAGAGACCAUAAAUAAUGUAGUCCGAAAAGCCCAUAAAAUAAUAUCUUUAUCGAUGAGUGUAUAAUAAUUCAUGUCUUUAAAAUUUGAUGAUGUGACAAAAAAAAUUUAAUUUUUAGGAUCAUCCUAAUGUAAGUUAUUACCUUAUCUUAAUUAUUGGACUAUAUGUUUGUUUAGUUUCUUAACCACUUUCGUGGUAUUCUUUUAUAUGUUUAUCCUGGAUCCUUGCAUCAGAAAGAUGGAGGCGCACGUAAACCAUUCUUAUCAAGAGUAAAGCCCAAGAAAGAUGGUAGUUGAUUCGAACAACCAGCACAUCUCUUUACGACCCUAUUUAGCAAACCAAUCCGCUAACCUAUUGGCUUCUCGUCUGAUACAUUGACUUUCAAAGAAGAAAGUUGCAUGACCAGCUUAUCAAAAACCUGAAGGACUAGCCUUAAUCUCCAUCUUCGAUCUUGACUCUUCUUCUUAAUAUUCGAAGCAAUAGUCUGGGAGUCGGUCUUGAUUGUUACAUUGGUUCAUUUGUUCUUCAUAGCUAAUUCAAUCCAUCCAACCAUAGCUUUAGCCUCGACAACCUCACAUGAAUCUACUUAAUCGUUUUACCAAUCCCAUCCAGCAUCUUCCCACUUAAAUUUCAGCUUAUUACUCUAAUACCAGCACAAGCUAUUAAGGUGUCGAAUGCCCCAUCACAAAUUAACUUUAACCCAACCUUCUGGUGGUUUCUCCCAAAUAUCAGCACAAGUUUUUGACUUCCUAGUUCGAUCAGAGUUAUUGUUUGAACAGAGGAUCCAUUGAGCAGAUAAGAAUUCAUUCAUGGAGCAAUUAAUCCUUCGAAUAAUUCUCUCCAAACCAAGUUUCACGCCUCCAAUUGUAAGCUCACACCCAGCUUUCCAGAUGUGCUAGCAAGUGAAAACAAUUCUAACUUUGAAAUCCUCCAUCAUACAAGGCAUUUGUAACAACUUUGAGAACCAUCUGUCAAAGAUCAUUUAGCCCUUGAAGACCAAAACAAGCCUCAUACUAUAUUCCCCUAACCCAAUUACAACUAAGAAUAAUAUGUUCAAAGUCUCAUCUUCAAUACCACAUAAACAACAAAAUUGGGUUCGAAACACACUUUCUUUUCCACGGAUUAAAACGAGAUGGAAUGGCAUUAUGACACAAUUUCCAUAAGAAAAUUUUAACUUUCUUCGGUACCUGUAAGCUCCAAAUAGCUUUCCAAGUGCUCCUAUCGAUUAAGUGAGAGCUGGAAGGUUGUAAAGAAGACUCAUUUCCAUAGUGCUUUCUCAACUCCUUGUACCCUGACUUCAUCGGAUAUUGACCAACAGCUGUAAACGGCCACACCAAUUUAUCUUGUUCAUCUGUUUCAUGAAGAGGAACUUUAAAUUUCGUAAUUUCAAUAUCUUCUAACCAUAUUGAGAUACUGGGUAAGUCCCAAUUUAGUUCUUCUAAACAAAUGAUCUCAGCAACCAUAUAUCUUCCCAAAUACGGAUGCUUUUGCCAUUUAGCACUUGCCAAAUCAAAGUCUCCUUUUAAAAACUCUUUCCCUUCAAGAGCGCUACUCCAUACCCAUGAUGACCUAGCUCCCUUUUUAGCUUCAAGGAAAUUAGAAGUCGGGAAAUAAAGUCCUUUUAAAAUCCUAGCCCAAAGAGCAUCAGGAUCCUGGACUAACUGUCAAGAUUGUUUUGCAAGUAGAGCAAGUCCUCCAAGCUUUUCAAUGAAUACGUCUCUCAUUUUUCUACUAUUGGAUAAUGACUACCAAGGCUAAUCCCAGAAAUAAAACUAGACUCGACUCUAUUAAUAAUCAUACGAGAGAGGACAUUCACAACAAAAAGGAAGAGGUAAGGUGAUAGAGGGUCACCUUACCUUAGACCUCUAGAUGGAUAGAUUUUUCCACUAGAUUUACCAUUAAUAAGCAAAGUGUAAGAAACAUUCCUCACACACUCGAUUAUCCAAUCAAUCCAUGUUAAAGCAAAUCUCAUUUUUCUUAAAAUAAUUUCCAGAAAUUUCCACUCUACUCUGUCAUAUAGCUUCCAAGCAACCUCAUAUUUCUUACCCCUCUUCUUCAAUUUCAAAUGAUGAAAACCUCUUGAGCAAUUAAGAUGUUAUCAUGUAUUUGUCUACCUACGGUAAAAGCACUUUGAUUAUUCAUAAUCACUACCCCUAGAACUCCUUUCAAUUAUUCACCAUGAUCUUCGAUAUGAUUUUAUAGGCAAAAUUAUAAAGAUUAAUUAGUCUAAAUUAUGUAAUUAAUUCAAAACAUUUAGUCUUCAGAAUUAAAAUUAUCUCAAUCUCAUUUAAACCCAUUGAAAAUUUCCCUUCCCUAAAAAAAACUCUUAAUAGCUUCCAAAACAUCCUUCUUAGUAAUUUCCCAAUAAUUAUGAUAGAAAAUUCCGCUAAAAUCAUUCGCAAAAAAAAAAAGAGAGAUUAAUUUAAUUGUUUUGUAUGCUUAACUUGUACCAUAUAAGUAAAAUCUUAUAAUUUCAUCUCCAAAUUCUCUCAACACAAUUUUCUGAUCCUUAUUUAUAAUCUCAUUUGUAUCUAACAUGAUAUCCAAUUUAAAAUUAAAUAGUCUUUUUUAUAUAAUGAAUUAUAUAUUUAUUUGAAUCUCCUCUUAAAUUAAUUAGAGUGAAGUUUCUUAUUUAGUAUUGACUGUUCCAUAAAGUAUUCAAAGUUUUCAAAUAGAUUUAUUUUUUUAAGUAUAGUUAAUAACCAUAAUAAAAACUAAAUUUUAUAAGUGAUGAAUUUAUAUUAAAUAUUAUUUAAUAAAUUAAUAAAAUAUAAGUUUGAGUUCAUCUAUUUUUGCAUUUCUUUUACCUACUUAAAUUAAUUCCUAAUUUUUCUUAUUUUUUUAAAUUUAUUCCUAAUUUUUUAUACAGGAAAUUAUAUCGGUGAGGAAAUAAAAGAGUUGGGAGAGAACAUGGUUAAACAUUGUGCAGGGCUGCCAUUAGCCAUUGUUGUAUUGGGAGGAAUUUUGGCUACAAAGAAUAAUUCAUUAAACGAAUGGCGAAAGAUAUCUGACAAUGUAAAAUCAUACUUGAAGAGAGGCAAGGUCCAGAGGAUGUGUUAGCAUUAAGUUAUGAUGAUUUGCCUCCCUAUCUAAGACCAUGUUUCCUCUAUCUAAGCCAUUUUCCGGAGGAUUAUAUGAUAGAUGUGGAUAGAUUGAUUCAAUUAUGGGUUGCUGAAGGUAUUGUGUCAUCAAAGCAAGAAGAAAGAGACGAUGGGGAAAUUGCGGAAGAUGUGGCGGAAUCUUAUUUAAUGGAGCUUGUGGAAAGGUGCAUGAUUCAAGUACGAAGAAGAGAUGUGGCAACCUUAAAGGCAUGAUCUGAUGAGAGAUCUUUGCUUGUCAAAGACAAAACAAGAAAAUUUUGUCUUCAUUGUUGACCGAUCGAAUGCAUCUUCAUUAUCUAUGAUUCGGAAGGUUCGUAGGGUUUCUGUGCAUGAGUUUUUUUUCAUACAAUGCAUUAAAAAUCCAAAUAUUCGGUCACUUUUGUUCUUCAAUCAGUUCUUUCCGGGGGAGGCAUUAGAAAAAUCUUUGCCCUUGGAAGUGUAGAAUUACGUUAAAAAACACUAUGACGAUUGUUGUAAGCCACUAUUUUUUAUUCUUCUGAUUUUGGCACGUUCUACAAUACGUCAUAAAAUUCGGGGAAUUUGUAGAUACACGUUCAACAACUUUAAAUUGCUAAGAGUCCUAAACUAUGAGAUAAGAAGAACACGUGAUCUUUUUGGAGGGUGGAAGUUACCUAGUGAUAUAGGUAAUGAUAUAGGUAAUCUCGUCCAUUUAAGAUUCUUGAGUCUAAGGAAUCUUAAAUUCCAAUGGUCAAAGUUGCCAUCAUCUCUAGGCAACUUAAGGUGCUUGCAAACCUUGGAUUUAAGAGUUGAUAGUUACAAAAUUCAUGUACCUAAUGUGAUAUGGAGGAUGGAGCAACUAAGACAUUUAUAUCUCCCUUGGAGAUGUAAAAGCAGAACUAAGUUGAAGUUGGGUACUUUAAGAAAACUCCUAACACUUGUGAACUUCAACACCAAGAAUUGUUAUCUGAAGGAUCUUAUCAACAUGACAAAUCUUAGAGAGUUGGAGAUUUAUGGGCCCUUUAAUAUUGAAAAUUUCAAUGAGGAGGAGUUGGGCGAGAAUCCACCCAUAAUCGGAAGUAAAUAUCUUCAUUCCUUGUCUAUUA